CUGGAAUCUGUGGUUCGGUGAGUAUGUUGCUCAAAAAGGGGGACCUAAGUCUUCCAGUUGCCUAGAAUAGUCUUGGUCUAAUGUUAUGGAUAUAUGGUUCGUUGUUCUACUUUUGUGGCGAAGGAUAUGAUGUCCUUGAUCCCAACUAAACCUAGAUCAAGGAGUUAUGAACGCUACUUGUUAUCCACCCAAAAAGGUUAUGCUUUAUGUGCUUAGGUGCUAACUUAUGCCUAUUUGUCAUGUUGCUGCUGCUAUGUUUCUGUUUAAUGUUAAUUACAUCUUUGGCUAUAUUCGUUUCAGUUUUCCCGUUUCAACUGCAUCUGUGCAUAUGAAUGUCAUUGCAUUUCAUCGAGGUUGAAUCUAGCUUGACAUUAGCCAAAAUUUUGCGACCCAGUGAACUGAACAAUUACAAGCUUGUUGCUUGUUAGGUUCUUCCAACCGGAGGAAGUAAAUCGGUGUCCGCUGAAAUGAUAUAUGUUGGAUUGGUCAGGACUCAAGUGCAGGAUUGCGAAAUGCAAUCAGAUUUGUUGCUUGUAGUUAUAUUUACCCUUGAUGUCUGUCAUGUCACUCCCCUGCACUUAUGGUUUGCUAGAUUUGACUUACAGAAUCUGAAAAGGCUUUUUCAAGUUUUUAUAUAGAAUACUUUGGAAAUUGUCUCACUGUACUGUUAUAGGAUGAGCCUAUAGUGGUCAAUCGCCCUUUUGUAAGCGAUGUGACCAUUAAGUGCUUGGAAUUGGAGAAUGUAGAAAUCUGGAUACCUGGAAAGAUUAUUUAGAGCUAUCCUAGUCUUUUUUGUUCUGAAUUGUCUCAGGAGUCGGUGCAGUGAAAGAUGACUGGAUGAGUUUAUCAGGGAUCUGCUUAGUGCUCAGAUCAUAUAGCUUCGGGCCUAAGCAAUAUGGAUGAAGAUUAUAGGGGUUCACAUCUAUGUGGAUUAUUAUGCUUUUGUUGUCAUGUUGGUGAUUGGUUAGCCUAAAAUGUUAAAGGAGUAAAGGGUAUUCUUUUUGGGAAUAUUUUUUGGUUGAUACUUGCAACCUGUUUGGAUAGCACAGAUUUGGGCCCAAACGGCUACCUAGAACAAUCCAUCUAAAGUUUGCUACUAGAAAGAUAACCCCUCGCAAAAGGGGGUUGCAGUGACCAGGCCCGGGUGACUGUUUACCAAAAACAUAGGUCUCAGCAAAGUCGUCCAUCAAAUGUGUCUGAAAAAGUUUGCAGUAUAUACGUGGCUAAGGGCAUCAGUUGGGAUAUACUUUCUUUUCUGUUUUCUUUUUUCUUUUUUUGAAAAGGGGUAAACUUUUUGUCCAUGUUAUCUGAACCAACUAGAAUCUUGUUAAGGAUGAUGAAACUUGUUCUUCUACUGGGAUUGGAUAAUCGACAUCUAGUUUUAUUGCUUGUACAACACACUAUUUGCAUGAGGCUCCUGAUUCUCUUGGGCUAGCAAUCUAUAGCAUGUCAGGCCCUUCAUUCUGCGACUCAGAUAGGCUAGGAUUCGUGCCUCAGCCGGAAGUUUUGUCAGGUGGGAAGGAUGGAAUUCAAAUAGUUCAUUUUGGUGACCUGAAGCCGUCAAGCGCUGCAUGUGUCGCCUCAACUACGUUGUCGUGCAUAGACAGCAGUUAAUCUUGAGGCUUUGCUGUCUGAUAGCUCGAACACGUUUCUCGUUAUGCUUAAUUGCAGAUGCCACGGGAGCCCAGGACCUUUAAAACACACAUCUUGUAUCUUACGAGUACGGGGAUGGUUGUUUCUUUAGUAGCUUCUAAAAUUCCGGUGACAUCGAAUGUUUAGGUACUAAGUAGGAGUAUUAAAUAUAAACUAAUUAUAAAACUAAUUGCACAAAUGGAGAUUAAUUUGCGAGACGAAUCUAUUAAGCCUAAUUAGUUCAUGAUUUGACAAUGUGAUGCUACCGUAAACAUGUGCUAAUGAUGGAUUAAUUAGGCUUAAUAGAUUCGUCUCGUGAAUUAGCCUCCAUUUGUGUAAUUAGUUUUAUAAUUAGCUCAUAUUUAGUCCUCCUAACUAGCCUUCGAACAUAAAUUUUAGUCGGGACUAAAGAUCCAAACACCCCCUAAGCUGCAUUCGUGGUUGCGAUUGGUACAGGAAUUAGGAACACUUGCAUAUCUUCACACACUAGGGGUGUGUUUGGUUGCUGGUAUGAUUUGGUUCAUGUAUGGAAUGGUUUAAAAUAAUAAUGAUCUGGGUGAAUUGUACCAACCCAUCCAUGAUGAAAUUAUCCUACUUAAUAUAUUAUUCUAUUAAAACAUGUGGAACAACUAAAUUGUUUGAACCCCACUUCCAUGAUCAUCCCUGCAUGCAUCAAGUGGUGCAUGCAACUUAACACACUCUAGUAUAACACCCGUGCUAAUGCUACGGGAAUAUUUUGAAGCCAAAUCAAACCACAACGAUAUAUUGUUUAUUGACAAAUCAAAUUAAUAGCAUAGCAUUACAUGACACUGUCUUUUAUAUCUAGCAUGUGAAAAACGGAGGGAGUACAAAUAAUAAGGCUCAAGAACAACUGAACCACCAAUGGUUCUUAACCAAGGUCAGUACUGCACCUCCCAAAUCCCGACUAUGUCCUGUGUCCUCAGUUGAAUACACAACUCAAAUCAGAUUUGCCGCACAGGUCUUCAAUCCUUGGCUAGCACCGAUUUCUUUUCUUAGAUGUUCUUCCAUUAUAUGUUGACUUCCAGCUCUUUAACCUUUUUAAAUGAGAAAAAAUAGAAUGACAAAAAAGGAAGCAACAAGGAAUGAAACAAAAUAGUGGCUGGACACAAUUAUUGACGAAGUUGAUUUGAUCAAAUGGCAAAUAUGCAAAUAGAGCAGUUACCUUCUGCUUACUUGAAGCACACCCUGCAUAUACAACAGAAAACUGAUUUUUGCAACAAUUUUGUUUUAAUGUUUUCCAAAUAGCAUAUGAAUCAAGCAUAUCGAUUAUGUGACAAUACCUGAAAUCAAACUUUCCAUUAAUAAGCUUCACUACGUUUAAUGACGAAAACCAAACUUCAGAUGUAGAAUCGGUGAGCUUUCAGGACAGUGGGAGCUUACCGUGUUAGGGGAUGGGGAUUUUGUCGAACAUCUUUCAAGCAGUGGAGCUGUGGAGGCAUUGUGGUUGCGUGACUUGUGUCAUUGCUUUCGCUUGCUUGCACGCCUGCCAUUCCACCCGUGGAGGCGGGGGCGAGGCCGGCGGGGACGAACCAAAUAAUAUUGACCGGAGUGAGUAAACAGAGAGAGGAUAUGAUGAUAGAAGUUUGCCCUUCAUUUCGAUAGAGUUGAUUUUUUGGUGCAAAGAUUGGGGUGUACAGAAGAAAACCCAUCUUUGUUGGGGACACAAGAUUGUGCGGCCAUAGAAAAAAUCGAACUGGUGCAUUAGCAGGGUAGAGUAGAUGCACACGAUCAUGCACAUACUAACAUCUUGAAAUAAUCAAAUAUUACCCGGCAUUAACGUUUCCGGUCACUGACAGUCUGACACCCUUCUUAAACCCAGGCUUGUCCUGGUCCUGCGUCACUGCUUCACACGAGCCGAACGGCGCCGGCACGGCGGCACUGCCGCGGUGCUGCCACACGCCCGCACACAGCCCAGGGAUUGUGGGCUCACCGUGACAUGGCCCACACGUCAGUGAGAGCCACCCCCACUCUCCUUUUUCGAAAGAAGAGAGAGGCAGAACAGAGCGGACCGGCGGCCGGCGACGGCGAGGCGAGCAAUCCCGCACAGCUACCAAAACCCUAACAAACCCCUUCCCCCCACUCGCCGGCAUGACCCCGGAGAGCUCGGCCGCCGCCGCCGCGACGGGGUCAGGCUCCGACGCCUCCGACGGCGAGGCGGACGCGGCCCGCUUUUACAGCACCCGCCGCAGCUCCCCCUCCCCUAUCCACUCCCGCCCCCGCUCUCGAUCCCGCUCCAAGACCCCUCCCCCCAACCUCCCCCCUACCGCCGCCGCGCUCCCCGCCGCCCCCGUCUCCGCGGGGGCCGAUGUCGCGGCCGCAUCCGACUCCGCCGCCGAUGCGGGCGCCGGCGGCUGCGCCCCGUCACCGAGGCGCAAGGACGGCAAGAGUCCCCCCGGCGACCACCUCGACUCCGGUGCGGACGCGGACGCGGACGCCGGUACCGGCCGCAGCGUCCCUUCCCCGGGGCGCCGCGGCGAGCGCUCCCCCAGCCUCCAUUCCGACUCGGACGCCGCCGCAGCCGGCGUCCGCGUGCCGUCCCCGAGGCGCAACCGCGAGCGCACCCCGCGCGUCCACUCCGACCCCGACUCCGACAACUCCAUCGCCACCGCCUCGGAAGAUGGUGGCGGAGAUGCCAGCGACGCUUUCCCGUCGCCUCGCGCGCGUCUAUCCACACACAUCAAGACCUCCAGCAUUAAGCCCAUCCGCACGCGCCCGAUGGACGUGUCCUCCCGCGAUGCCGCCGCGGCGUCCUCCGAGCUCCGCACCAAGCACCGCCCGGGGUACCAGAAGCGGCCGUCACGGGUAUGGAGCCCUGAAGACGAGGUCACCAUACUGAACGCCCUCAUUGAGUACCGUGCCAAGAAAGGCCGGCUCCCUGCGUCGUUUCAGGACACAAGCGAUCUAUACUUGCAGAUUUUUGGCCAACUCACAGCUAAUGUGUCCACUACCCAGCUUAGUGAUAAGGUCAGGCGCCUCAAGCAUAAGUAUAAGUUGCUGGUCAAACGUGCAAAGCAUGAACGGGAUCCUGACUUGCCGACAGAGCAUGACCAUAAUGUCUAUGAACUUUGCGAGAAAGUUUGGAGAUUGAAGAGUCUGGAAGGAGGGGAUGCAGAGAGCAAUGAAGAGCAGGAGAUCAAGGAGAGUGAUGAGGAAAUGGAGAAUGAACGGGAACACCGUGAACGCACGAGCAAGAAGCCAAAGACAUCUAGAUUUGAAAAUGCCAAUGGUAAUGCAACUGUCACUGCAGUUAGGGCUAGCCAUGGCAAUGGCAGUGGGAGAGAUGAUGCUGAGAAGGGAAAACAAAUGUACCCUUACCUGUGGGCGGCUAUUGAGGAGCUGUCCAAGGAGCAUCCUAGUGGACCAAUAUUCAGGAAGGCAUUUGGUGUACUUGAAAAGGCAAAGGCAAGAGCGAUAGAGGAGAAGCUGCGGAAGUUCAGAAUGUCAGUGGUUAGGCUGCAGCUGAAUCGGAUGGACUUGACAAAGUUGUCCGUGGGGAUGGUGCUUGAUGCGCUGGAGGGGCCACACUGAAGGUUGGAAUUGAUGUACUGACUGAUUCUGGAAUAUGUGGUUCGGUGAGUAUGUUGCUCAGAUAGGGUGACCUAAGUCUUCCAGUUGCUGCGAAGUCUCUUAUUCUCGUGUUAUGGAUAUAUGGUUUGUUGUGUCAACUUUUGUGGUGAAGAAUAUAGUGUCCUUGAUCCAAACUAGACCUAGAUUAAGGAGUUAUGACUGCUGCUUGUUAUCCUCCCUGAUAGAUUAUGCUAUGUGCUCAGGUGCUAAUUUAUGCCUAUUUGUCAUGUCGAAGUUCUGUUUCUGUUUAAUCUUAAUUACUUUAGCCGUAUUCGUUUCAUUCCGUUCCAACUGCAUCUGUAAAUAUGAACAUCAUUGCAAAUCUACCUUGGCAUUUACCAAAAUUUUGUGACCUUAGACUAUAUGAAUACAAGCUUGGUGCUUGUUAGGUCAUUCCAGCCGAAGGAACUAAAAUCAGUGUUCGCUGAAAUGAUAUAUGUUGGGAUGGUCAGGACUCAGGAUGCAGGAUUGUGAAAUUCAUUCAGAUGCAUUGCUCGUAGUUAUUUUAUUUACCCUUGGUGAUUCUCAUGUCACUCCCAUGCACUUAUGGCUCGUUAGAUUUGACUUACAUUUGAAAAUGCAUCCUCAGGUUAUAUUUGAUAUAGGUUCUGUUUGGCAGUAUUUGCAGCUCCAAGAAAUCUUGGAUCUAGAUCUGGUGGUACGUCGAGAGCAUUUAGAUGAAUUAUUUUGUUUAUAGUUUAGACUAAAUAUGAAUAUUUAGUCCACAAAUUGCAGCUCCAACCUAGACCUCAGAGCUGGACCUGUCUGUAAUGUUAAAGGAUGCACCUAUGAUCGUCAAUUGCUCUUUUGUAAGCAAUGUGACCAUUAAGUGCUUGGAUUUUGGAGAAUGUAGCAACUUUGGUGCCUGGAAAGAUUAUUUAGAGCUAUCCAAUUGUUUUUGUUCUAUUCGGAAUUGUCCCAGGUGUCGGCGUAGUGAAAGAUGACAGAGUUAGUUCAUCAAAUUCCUGCUUUGAUCGUAUAGCUUCAGGGCUAAGCAAUAUGGAUGAAGACUAUAGGGGGUUCACUUCUAUGUGGAUUACUAUGUCUCUUGAUUGGUUAACCUAAAGGCUAAAUUAGUAAAGGGGAUUCGUUUUUGGGAAUAUUUUGUGGUUGAAAACCUGUAGGGGCUGUUUGUAUUGGAUAGCACGGAUGUGGGCCUCAAUUCCUAGAACAAUCCAUGUAAUGAGUCUGAAAUUUUUUUGCAGUAUAUACAUUGGUAAGGGCAUCAAUCGGGAUAACCGUUCUGUCCAUGAUAUCUUAACCAUCUGGGAUCCUUUUUAGGACGAUCUUCUUCUGCUGCUGGAAUUGGUGCAUAGUUUGUAGGAGGGACAUCUGCUUUUAUUGUUUAUACAUACUUAUUUGUAUGAGGCUGCUGAGUCCUGACACGCUUGGGCUAGCAUGUCAGGUGGGAAAAGAUGGGAGUUCAUUUUGGUGACCUGAAUUAGCCAAGUGCUGCAUAUGUUUCCCCAACUAUGUUCAUUUUGAUGCUGGGAUCUCAGUUUGGUUGCUAUGAGCCUUAUGGUUGAAGCAGGAAAUUGUCUUAAGCUUCAUCUCUGUAUGGCUUAAGCUUGUCCUCCGGUAUAGAGGAAGAGCUGCCAAGCUCUGAAGAUGGUCUUCUGGAAGUUUUUGUGCAUAUCUUUUAGUUUUUUUUUUGAGGGGUGCAUAUCUUUUACGUAGUUCAUGUUUUGUAGUAGGCUGCAUAUAAGUGUCGCCAGUCUGGAAAUCGAUAGGCCCUUGAGAUGGGACUGAAGUACUGAACAGUACCUUUCCGGCAUGGCCCAAAGUGACACGGAAUCAGAUCGUCUGCAGUCACCGCACCCACAGUGACAACUCGGCAGUCGACUCAUCGACGCCGUCCGAAAUCGAUCCAACAGCGACUCAGACGAACCUCUCUCCCAGGUCACACAGCAGCAGGCCGAGUGGCCCAUCUCGGCCCAUAGCACCGAGCGGUCGAGGCGUCGAGCCUCUCUGCCGCCGUCGUCCUCGCUUGAUGCAGGCCCUCAUCACAUGUCGACCUCCAGGAGGACGCGGCUGCCCUGUGGCUGUGGCUGAGCGCCUAGUGAGCGUUCCCAUCUUGCCUGCGCGACUGCCGCCCAUUCCAUUGCCGUCGAGCUUUGGUCUCAUGCCGCUCGGUGGUGAGACGAGGUGGAGCCUCCCAACGCAUCGAGCUGCAGCUGCAGGGCACGGCCACAGAGCCACCAGACCACCCUGAGCGCAGCCAGGAAGCUCCAUAUGUUCUGUAGCGCAGCCAGGAAGCUCAAGCUGGAAUGCUUUGCCUGGUAUUCUUUAAACUGUGCAAGUGCUAGCAAGUUGGGCAAAUUGUGCAGGUGCUAGCAAGUUGGGCAAAUUGUGAUGGUAUGGGACACAUCAAAGACUAUAGAAAUUGUAUAGAUGGCAAAUUGUUUUCUAAAUUGUGCUAUCACUGGAAUGAACAGAAAUUUGCAGAACUCAAAAUGUUGUAUUGUUCUGUCAUACUGAAACUCAAAAUGUUGCAGAACUCAAAUGCUCAAGUGCAUUGAUUUCUAGUACUAGUACAACAAUUGAUUUCUUCCUCAACUUGCUUGCUAAGGAUGUCAAGUGUGUUGUUUACUAACAGCAGCUUGAAGUGCCAAAUUCAAAAAUUUGCGAGUCAUGUCUUUGUAACGAAGCAUAUCAUUUAAUCUGGGAUCCUCUACUAUUACAUAUAGUUAGUGAGCAUUUUAGCAUCAACCUAGAAUAUGUUUGCUAUUUGUUCUUUUGAAUCCAUCUAUAAUGCAUAUUGGAAUGACGGGUUCUCGGCAAUUCUAUUUUAAAAAUACAUAAGCAUGGUUCCUGCUUGACCAUAUGCCAUCUCCCGUUGGUGCUUGCCCCAUAAAUAAUUCUUGUGGUCAUGAAGAGUGUACUGAGAUUAAAUGACCUGCCAACUUGGAUACUAGCCAGCUCAUGUGCAGCUUUAGGUCUAAUUCCCGCAUCGUCAGCUGUCUCAAUUUCAAAACCUUGUAACUCUGAAAUUUUCCUUUGAGACACCAUCAAGUACGAGGUUUGUGGCAACUGAAGGAUGUGGUUGUGUUCCAAAAUCAGAUCAGCCACUUUAUAAGUUCCCUUCACCUGGUCCAUUACAACAGCCAUGGGAGCUUGACAAUUAGUUCAAGUUUCAGCUCUUGGACACUUUGUUAGACGAUCUCUUUUAUCUUCCAAUCUGUGACCUUCAUUUGCACAAACAUAUCUACAAGACCUAACCUUCCCAUCUGACUUCUUUUUGUCCGUGUACCUUUUUCUAACCUCAAUUCCUUUUUGACCUCCAUAGCUAAUCCAAAACAUCCACGCCUCUUCUAUAGUGUUGAACUCCAUGCCAACUUGAGGUACCAAACUAGGCAGCAAGCCCUCCCUACAAGCAAAAAAGACAGGUGAUAAUUGAACACCUAAAAUCUAUCUGAUCUCGUAGUAAAGAAGCAACAAACGAAGGUCAUACACACCCAUUUUCUUCCAUCUUGCAGAUGCAGAUUUCCUUCAAACUGAAGUUACAUUCAAUCAAUUCCAACACAAUCUAAUGAGGGAGGUGGAAGCCUGGAAGGCAGUCAAAUUCCGCAGUCCAUACUCUAAUUUGACGGCUCGCCCUCGCGCCAAAAAAUGAGAGCAUUCUUUUUUUUUUUGUCGCUUAGUGUCGGCAGCGUCCUUUGUGUGUGGAUCAGUGCUCGAAUGAUCGAACGGUUCUGUUUCUCCAUAAAAAAGCUUUCAGCGUGACGUGGUUGCGUGCUCCGACUACAAUUGGACGAACUCGGCCAGUACGUGCCCCGUGAUUGGAGAUAAACCGUUGGCGGCGGCCAGGCCAAACCCUUCUUGGCUCCAAGCGUUUCGUCAUCUUGUUUCGCGACCCGGUACGGAUCGGACGAAGCCGCUGCCGAGUGAUUGGUCAGUGCAGUUAGCGAAGCAGUUGGGCAAGUAUCCACGGGCCAAGGAGAAUGGUUCCUGCAUCUUCGCUCUCUUCUCCAUCGAGUUCCCAGUAAUUUGAGCUAGUGGCAGCCGGGCAGGGGAUGGCCUGCGCGCGGCUGGCCGCUGGGCGGUUUGGCUGGCCUCUGAAGUCUUGUUUCCGGCGAGUGAGAUGUCAUGACAGCAGCAUUGCCUAAUGCCUAUGGCCGAGGACUUUUUUUUAAUAAAAAAACCGCCAACAGCUUUGCUGUCCGGCAUAGAAGAACGGCUGAGGACUGUGAUAAACGGAACAGUUUGUUUUCGUUCAUGCAAGUGCUAACUUCUUUGGCUCUUGUGUUGACAGUGUUGUCGUAUCCAAGUAUAAUCACCAAGCAACCGGUAAUUUUUCGAUCUGAAUGGUUUGUGCUGCCGGCAGUUUAAUACGACACUGGGCUUGGGCUCAAUUUUAUUUGCUCGGGCCGUAUUCGUUACCAAAAUUUAUAGAGAUUUUUUUUUAGUAUUUAGAUUCAAAAUAGGCUGUGUGCACUUUUCAUGCAGAGGUCGCGAGUGAUUUCAAAAUGGUUGUCAUCUCGAUGUUAUUGUCUUGUUAUCUACAAAAGCUUCUUUUUACUGAAAAAAAGUGUGCUCAUGGAGUCAGAUAGGUCCAUUUGAAGCUUGGGCUAUGCCAACAAGGUCACAACUAUGAAUAACAAAGUUUGUCCUGAUUGCUGGAAUGGAAAUGGACGAUCCUCAUCAGACUAUCCUUCUGCAUCUGUACUUAUUGUUUUCCUUCCUGUAGUAAUCGCAAGUUUUGAUAUAGUAUUUUUUUUUUCGGGUUGUCGUGAUGCACUCAGUUAUGAAACGGACAGAAAUUAGUGUGUCGAUCCGUACUCGAAUGAUUGCUCGAUUAUGUUUAUUUACAGAAAAAAAAACUUUCAGCAUGAUGUUGUCAGUGCAUUGAGUGAAGCAUUUGGACAAGUAAUCUUCGGGCCAAGGAGAAUGCUUCCUCGCUUCCUGCACUUGCACAAGUCGCUCAUGCAUGCAUCUCGUUCUCUCCUCCGUGGAUUCCCCAGCCAUUUGGGCAAGUGGCAUCCCCGCUGCCAGGCUCUUGCACGAGACGCAGGGAUGCCUGCGCGCGGCUAGCCGCUCGGCGGCGGGCUCGGUUGCCCUUUCACGCCUUCUUCCACUCAUGCAAAGUGUUUACUUUUUUUUUUUGCUUUUGCUGCGUUGUCGUGUUCCAGUAUCAUCACUUGCGUGGUGGACCGUACAUCGGAGAUGGUCAAUUCACCACAUCAACAGCGUGUGCGGUUGGAAAAAUGGAACCGUGGAUGAUCCAUCGUGAAUGUACGUACGUACGGCCGUUGCAUCAGCAGAAGAAGAUGCUUUGUGCAAAGGGACGGAAUGCAUAUUCUGCAGAGAUUCAGCCAUUCAGGUAUCUCAACUCCAGGAGAGCUUUCCGUUCCGACGAUUGAUUCGACAGGCUCCACGACGAACGCGCGACAAGGAACAGGCCAACUGACUGUACGUGAGCAAAAGGGAAAUGUCUUUGUCUGAGAUUCGGAAUCACAAAGGUCAAAAGCACAUCGACAACUUUUUCCAGCCUCAAGGACGCCCUGCGCUUGAUGCAGCUGCGUGAAGCACGUUUGGUUCUGAUUUCAGAGUGGCGAAGAAUGCGCGACAAGGAGUACGUACUGCACGGGAGAGAAAAUUCUUCCCGAAAAACCGAGCUGCUCCUGCCUAACAUUCGCCUCGUUCGGCUGGCUGCUGCUGCUCGGCUCUCUGCCGCAGCAGCUGCAGCACGCAGCAGCUCUCUGCCGCAGCAGUCAGAAGCCGAACGCAGCAGCCAAGCGAACGAGCUGUGGAUCGCCAAAGUCAAUAGCAUACGGGGAUCUGCCAGCCUCAUGGACGGCCUGCACGUCCUCCUCCUGCUGCUGCAACUAGUGUAGCGUUUGGACAAGCAACUAGCUGGCUAGUUUGGAUCGAUCAGCUCCAAGUGGCAAUGGGGGAUCCCUUGGCUAUGCGCCGAGUCGCAAUGGUGCCGACGACCUCCCCGGCCUUUCAUGCUCGGCGAACUGACAACGAAGCUCUCAAGUCUCUCAACUGACAAAACCUCUUCGAUCUCAGCUGUUGCUAUCGACAAGCCGAUCGAACCCAAGCAUGAUUGGUGGCUGUGACAGGUACUUCAGUGCAUUCUUAAAUGCUCUAAGUACUUCCUAAAGCCUUUGUCUUGGAGCAGAUUACUUGUAGUACUUAAGAAGAGCUCCAUAAGGAACUUCUGUGAUAUCAGCAAUCUGUGGUACUUUGGGCAUGAUCUCUAUGAAUUUGUCUGCACCUAAUACCAUACCAAAAAUUUCAGUCUCUACGACGGUUUCAAUAACAUUUCCGUCUCGAUCAUGAAAUAUCUAGGCUGACAGAAAAUUUUACUCCUACCCUUGAAAACCCUACCAUAAAAACAAUGCGCCCGCCGUCGAUCUUUGAAAAAAAAACGUGCCUGGCGUCAUCAGAAAGUUUUUGGAAAUGAGAAACCAACGGACUGCACGGAUCGUACAGACAACAGAAGAAGUCAGAUCAGCGAAGGUCGUCUGAAACCGAGAACCAGCAAUUAGGGCAGUGUCGUCACUUACGCGCAUAUUGUAUUGUGCAGAAACAGUCCAUGUCAAACUGAUAAACCAAAGUUUCUAAGUCGGAAGUCAGACAGAGAUGGUCAGUACCAAGAAUUAUUCCGACUCUGUACCACGUUUCUUUUUCUUUUUUUUUGAAACGAGACUCUGCAGCACGUUAUUAGUACCGUAAAUCCGUACAGAUUAAUCGGAGCAGGUUGCUGCAAAGAACGUUCAUGUUAGCACAUCUCCAUCAGAGCAGGCUGCGCAGAACGUUCAAUCAAACCAACAUAGACGUAAUAAGGGCAGUUGGGAUGCAGAAAUUCUGGAGAUUAAGCUUGUCCAAAAAGCAAAAUUUAUGUGUAACCAAAGUUUGAAUUGAGGGAUUCAAAAGUGCAUCUUUGAAGCACGGUAAAUCGCGUGCAACAAUUGGUAGAUUCCUUGAAGGUAACCAUCCAUUGACUGCAAAACUUUAAUUCAUCGUGGCAUACAACUGGACACUAUAUAAGAAACCCUCUCUUUCUGACUUGGGGAGGUUCUGACUUUAGCUUGUGAGUUUGAACACCCCCCCCCCCCCAAAUUAGUAAAUUAGUAAAUCAAACAUGAACACAUGGCUGAUAAACUGAAAGAGAUAUGUAGACAGUCAACCUUUCAAUGACAUGAAAGCUAGAGCUAGCAUAAAAGAGAAGAGAUAUUUUAUGGUUUUAGGAAAAAUCGCCCAUUGUUACAAUGAAGCUAGCUAGCACCAAGUCUGUAUGACUAUGUAUAAAUAUGAUAAUAUCCUUACACCAAUUUAGGACUAUAUUAGAGUAAGUUUUUUAAAUAGCAGGCUAUACCCUUUAGUGGAGAACUCUACUCAGCCGAUAUAGUGGCGGCAACUGCUAGAGCUCUCCGCUAGAAUAAUAUAUUUAGAAGACCUUGCUAAAAGCCAAAAAGACAAUUUACAGUUUCUAAAUAAAAAUCACCAGAAUUAAUAAAAAGAUCCACUAUAUUGUUUACCGGGGUAAAUUGGACUAAAAGCUUCCUUCCUGUGUCGAUCUUUAACCGCCCUUUAUUUGCCCUUUAUGUUGGUCCUACCACCACCAAGCAGAAGAGGAAGGUGCACAGAAGCAGUGAAGCACCACCACAAGUUGGCAAAUGCGACAAACAACAUAUGAUCGUCUGAAAAUUCUGAGCGACUGAAUUUUAGCUCCAUGCCAAGAGCACGCGAACCAAGAAUGCUGGCCAUCGUCGAACGAGCGAGCGAUUAUUGGGUAGCGUCUACGUUCUCCGAGACCACCAGGUCCACACACGAACGACGAAGCGCUACAGGGCUACACGCAGGGGCGAGAGGCAAUCCCCGCCGUGCACGCACGCCGUUCUCUGGUGAAAUUGCUGGGCACCGCGUCGACGUCGACGAUCCAUCGGUUGCCUAGCCUGUCUCUCUCGCCUGCUGGCUGCUGCAAACGGAAAAUGAUGGGCAUGCAUUCGAAGUUUUUCUCUGCGAAUAUGGUGGACGGCCAACCGCCACGACGCUGGACCGUGUUCGCAGAAAAUGUUAUCCUGCUGCUCGUAUCCGAUGCACGAACGAGAAUACAAUAAGAUCUUGGCGUGUAUGAAAAGGAUUAAAGGAGAUGGAUUAUUGAAGAUAGACGUGCUCACGGUGUCCAUAUUUUUGUGAUUUGGUGUUCAGUGACCUUAGCUAGAUCUCUGCAUUUCGUAUCUGACCCUUUGAUUCAAAAGAAAAAGAAAACAAAAAUAAAACUUCAUCUGAUGAUGAUGUUGCCUGCUCUGCUCUAUACUUUUUCUUGUCAGUGUCGAUCGUGGGCACAACACAAAGCAUCCUAAAAAAAACACACAAAGCGUCCUGGAAAUAUCUCUCUUUUUGCUUGGAUGCAUGGCCGCUAAGCGUGUGAGCUGCAACGAUGAAAUAUCUUCACAACUUGCAUUGUGCAGCACACACCAGCCAAUUCUUGUUCACGUUUUUUUUUUGAACUCAUAGAUACUACACGUACAUCACCUGCUCUCUGCAGUGUGCAUGCACCUGCCAAUGCCAUAUGCAAUUUCACGUGCCUCUUCGCACAAAUCUUUCAUCUGGCUGUUCCGGAUCACACGCUUACCAUUUCGUCGGCGACUCGGCGCCAUCUAGUUUGCAGAAGCAUUCACGAAACAGGCUCUGGGAAAAAGCCCCAGCGCGUCAGAGCGCCACCUAUAAUCCUGUGUGCCGCGCGGCGGCGUCCACAACAUUUCGCGGCACACGGCACACGGUGCGAGCGAGCGACGAGAGAGGAAUCCCUGGUGCGGAUCCGCCGGUGGUGUGGCCCGCGGCUCGAUCUGUAGCUGCUUUGCCCGCAUCCGGGAGAGGCUCCAGCCAGCCCGCCGGUGGUCUCGCUCGCGUUUCCCCCGCCGCACGGCGCCCACGGAGAAAUCGCGUGACUGCCCAGCCAGCCGCGGCCCUUGGCCCUCGUUAGGAGCCAGGGCCAUUUGCACACCCUGCUGCGCCGCGGCCGGCCGGGAGAGCCGCGGCCAGGCCAGGCCACCACCCGCGGCCACUCCUCCCCCUGCCCCCGCGCGCGCGUCCCACUUGGCCGUUGCGCUCCCCAUGCGCCAACUCCCCCCCAGCGCGCGCGCGCGGCCACCGUUCCCAACCCCACCCGGUCAGUCACUCACCCACCCGAAACCCGAUCGACCGGCUGCCGGCCCCUUCCAUGCGCCUCGCUCCCAGCAGAGCUGCCAGUAGCUGCUCGUCGGUGAAUUCUAAAUUGCGAACUCCGGCCACAACGAUCGGCCCUCGGUGCAUCGACGGAUUAUUUGUUGCAAAAGUAAUGGGCUCUAGUGUUCCAAGGAUUCCCUUUUAGAGCUACUACUCGCUAGUAUAUUGUUUGUCUCGUAUCAUCUGGAGGCUGGCUAGUGGUUUGUUGUGGGGAUUUCCCGGCGACUUUUUGGCGAUCUGGCGGCGCUUUUUAUUUUUUUUGCCCUCAGUAGUCAGUAGUGGCCGAGUUCACUGGACUGGGGUAGGUUUGUGUUCUCUGGUUGAUUGGCUGCUAAGCUAGAGAGAGACCAGGACCAGCUGUGACCUGAUUGAAAGAUACUCAGAUAAGAUUCAGUAAUCAUUCAUAGGUUCAUAGUAUAUUCACUACAUUGCAGGAGGGAAGGCCAUAAAGCUAAUGAUUAAGUUUAAUUUAUUUUGACACAUCUCGGUUGUACUCCCAAUGAGAUGCCUUUUACUAAAUAUCCAGUACACCCCAUGACCCUAUCUGAAUAAAGAAGCCGGAUGCAACAAGAUCAGCCGCCCCUACGCAUGUUUUCAUGGCGAAUGGAAGAGGCACAUUCAUUUUUUCCUGCUCGAACAAGCAGAGCAUUAUUGGGCGGUUCUAGUGUGUGCACAUUGUUGUAUAUGCAAAUGCAUAAGCAGAUACUCCUUACAUUUUGAAUUGUACGCCCGUUUUAGUUACUUUGACUAAGUUUAUAGACAAAUACACCAUAAUAAAAAACGUCAAACAAGUUUCAUCAAAUCCGCCAUGGAUAUAUGCCUCGAUAGUGUAUUUGUUCGGUAUCCUAGAUGUUAAUACAUUUUUUCUGUAAGCUCGGUUAAAAUUAUAAAAAGUUUGACUUAGGAUAAACUAAUACAACUGACGUUUUGGCAAAACGGAGCUAGUAUACAUUGCACGUCCAAAUUUGUGCAUGCAUGCAUUGUGAAUAUGUAUGAUUUACUGCUUACUGUGUUUGAAUAAUUAUCAACAUCAACUCGAGGUUCAACAUUCCUGUAUGCAGCUUAUUACCAUCGCAACACUGCGUCAUCAGCAACAGUGGUCGAGAAAACAGCAAAGUACAACACCAGUACUACACUUUUAUAAAUCUUUUGACAACAGCUACACUUUUAUAGCAUCUGGGGCAGCUGGAAAAUGGAAUAUUGAUCCUGCAUAGAUCCACGGGAUAUCUGCGAGGGAUCCAACAGGCAGCAUAGACCUGCAACAACAUAGCCCAAUUGGGCAAAUCUGGGCGCCUCUUGGUGCUUUCAAGCAGUAUGGAGCUGGCUGUUCACAGAUGGAUCGAGCACUGGGACGUGGAGUCCUGCAUGGACGCCGCCAAGGCAAGUGUACAAGCCACAGCCGUCGGGCAACGCUAGCCAGCUGCCUCUUCACGUGCCUGCGUCCUACCUAGCGGGCUAGCUGGUUAGCUUCUCCCUUCAUGGGCGGUCGGACCAACCGCGGCGCCGGCCCUUCCCGCAUCUGAGGAGGCGCGCGUCGCCGGCCCUGCUCGUCGACGGCGACAGCGCGGCGUGUCGGGCUGGCGGCCGGGACGAAGCAGGUGGCCGGUAAUCUCAGGGGAACGUGCGUCACACACUCGAGGGAGAGCUUGUGUGGUUGGUUGGUGGAUAGGGACGAAGAGGGUAGUAGAGCUCGGCGCAGGCCGCAGGGUAUGAUUGGCAGCGACGGGAAACCUGAUCGGCCGGUGCGCACGGCGGAGAGAGACACCGUCGGGGGUAAUAGGGAUGGCUUUUCGGCGAUGCCGACGUCGUUGGAACCAUAUGCCCCCCUCCUCGAGGAUUUUGCUGUUGAUGAUGUGAUAGCUGGAUUGAGCGUAUAUAUGCUGAACUAGGAUCGUUUCUCAGACAAAUUCUCUGCAAUAUUCUAUAGCCGAUUAAUGUUUUUGAAACAAGUAUUAUCGAGGUAUAAAUGUACUUGAGUAAAUUUCAAAAACUAUAGCUUCAAAACUGCAUUAUUAUUAUUAUUAUUAUUAUUAUUAUUAUUAUUAUUAUUAUUAUUAGGCAGUGCCGCAAAACAUCAUUUUGAUAUCGUAGAACUGCACUUAUAUAUGUUCCCAUUCCAUGACACAAAAAAUUGUACCCUUCAGUUCUUAGAAGUGAAACUUGAUGACACGCAAAGAUAAUAAUGAUGGUGUAGUUUUUUUAAACGGAUUUGUAAAAAGUAUAAUCUUUCGAUACGACAUGAUGACAAAAGGUGUAGUUUUUUUAAAAAAAAUUAAACCAUCAAUGCAUAUAUAUAAUUUUGUGUUACAUGACAAUAAAAAUAUGAGUUCUACACACAUGUAUACACUGUUGUGAAAUCUGCUUCCUUUGCUCUAGUAUAUAUUUCUAUUUUUCUUAAAGUUCACACUAUGAAAUGGGUGAAGCGCUUUCCCCAUCUUAGACUCCUAGAUUUUACUUAAGAUUUCAUAGCUGUUGGGUUGGAAUAGAGGGGUUUGAAAAAGUUAUGGGUACGUUGCUUUAUAUUACAAUAACGGUAUAGCCAUCCUUUUGAAAAAGUGAGAGGAAAAUUUCAUGAUUUGGAUAUAAUAGAGGAGUUUGAAAAAAAAUAUGGGUACUUUGUUUUAUAUUACAAUAAUGGCAUAGCCUUGCUUUUGAAAAAGAGAGAGGAAAAUGCCAUUAUUUGGAUAUAAUAGAGGAGUCUCAUAUCGUAGCCGAAGUUUGAGGUGAAAUGUAAGCGUGAGGUUGAUAAUCCUAAUCUUUAUAGUGAUUGGGAAUGUUACUUACAAUGGUUCAUAACUAGAACUAGAGUUUUGACAUUGCUCCAAAUUAACUUGGAUGCAUAACAUAGGCCAUAUUUUUGGUGGACCUUUUAAUAAAGAGCAGAAACCCUCCUUUGAUGGACUAAUCCUAUACUUUUGGUGGAAUAUUUGGAAGGAACGCAAUAGAAGAAUUUUUCAACUUGUUUCAAAGGAAGUGGCAGAAGUGGCUUCAUUGAUCAAAACGAUGCUCAACUCUACCAAACUGCGACAACAAGGGCAACAUCUUCAAUUAUUUCUGCGACUUCUACCUAAGCAUAGUUGUCUUGGGUUUGUUUUUCUUCUCCAAAGAGUGGUUUUUCUUGUUAUAUCUCUUUUUUUCUGGCGGUAGUCGUUGCCGGGGGGCUGAGUUGUAUGAACAGGACUUGUAGUUUUCCCUCCUCUCUCUCUCUCUCUCUCUCUCUCUCUUCUUGCCUUUUGUUCGUUUUCUUGCUUUCUUCUAAUAAAAAUUAGAACAAAUCUCUUGCCGUUCUGUUAAAAAAACAUAGGCCAUGGGGCUAGGAUAAAGUUUGAGCUCACAUGGAGAGGUUUGGUUUUUAAUGAUGGUACUUGGUGAUAGUAAUGAAAAGAAAUUGAGUGAAUUGCACAAAACACCACAUUUUGAGGUCAUAAUGUAAAAGUCCACAUUCAGGCACCUCUUGUAGUCUUGUACAUUACACAAGGUUUUUGCUUAAAAAUUCUCAAUUUGCACCACCUUUUAUCAAUAGACAACAUGGAGUUGCCUUGGACACACAUGUAAGCCACACAACGGAUUUAAGUUGCCAUAUGGUUUUUGGUUUAUAAAAUAAAAGAGCUUAGAAACCAUAACAAAUCAGUAACGUAUCAUGUCAAACAAGAAAAAAUUCUCAUCAUUAUUUUGAAUGUUGUGAUGUCAAGUGCCUCAAUUUAUGUACUAUGGUUUAUAACUUUUUUAUCUCAAAAAGUACGCAUGUAAAUAUUGUACAUACUUCUACUUUGACACUUGUGGUAAUAAACGCCCGUGGUACACUCAAACUUGUUUCAUGUAGCUGACAUCUUAUUCAAUUCUAAAAGGUGGUGCAAGGUAGAAUUAUUGAGCUAAACCCUGGUGCAAUGCAUAACAAAUACUUAAAAAUGUGGUGCAGUGUGGCAAUUUGGCGGCAAAACAUGGUGUAUUUUGCAAUUCACUCAAGAGAAAUAAUGCAUGGUGAUCAAAAGCAACUUACCCGUGUGGACACAUGAGUGGAGAAGAGUAGUCUGGUAGAAAAUAUCAAUGUGACGCCAAAGCGGAUUUCCAAACUUGAAAAUGGUAUCCCUACUAAAUACGGUGGCAAGAAUGGGAGGUCACAAAUAUCCUUCGCUUUGUCAGGAGAUAUGAUGAGAAUGGGGCAUGCCACUAGUAGAGAAUUGGCUUUCGAUGCGCCCCCUUUUGUCCCGGUUUAAAGUUGAUCCGAGACAAAAGGUUCACCAACCGGGACUAAAGCUCAGUCACUAGUGGGGGCUCACCAACCGGGACCUUUUAUCCCGGUUGCAAAGGCUAGUGGGAAAAAAAGACCAUGAGAGACCUUUUAUCCCAGUUUGAAACACCAAUCGGGAUAAAAGGGUCGAGAGCCUUUUAUCCCGGUUUGUAAUACCAACCAGGAUAAAAGGGGGUUAUUUAUCCCGGUUGGUGUUUCAAACCGGGAUAAAAGGGUCCCCAACGAGGUGACUGAAAGAGGACUAAAUCCCUCGAACCCUUUUAUCCCGGUUUGUAAUAACAGCUGGGAUAAAAGGGGGUCUUUUAUCCCGGUUGGUGUUUCCAACCGGGAUAAAAGGGUCCUCCACGAGUUAAUACAAAAGGAUAGCAUCCCCUAUAUAGUUAGAUGUGGUGUGUAGGUGGGAUGGCAAGGAAGCUACGCGCGAGGCUGGAGGUUGUGGGUUCGAAUCCCACGCAGCGCGCACGCGCAUAUUUCGCGUGAAAAAUCGCGUGACUUGUGACUUGUGACUUGACAAAGUUGUAGGAGAUCACGAAAGAUCCUUCACUUUGUCAAGAGAUACGAUGAAAAUGAGGACAUGGAUUUUUUUUGUUGCACAGUUUGAAAAACACAAGUUCAUUUUUCACAUGAAUAGACAUGAGUUUAUUUUUUAACCAGAAUUUUCUAGUCAUAUAUACUUUAAUAGGAUGUAACUUUUAUGACUUUUAAGUUUAGAUGCACGUAAUAAUAUCCGGAAACUUUGGCGAGGACAAGAUCCACUGUAAGUGCAAAGGAGACCGGUACCUCGCUCAACACGGUUCCCACAUCUUUGCGGACGAUCUAGGCAUUGUGGUACAUAUGUGAUACCAAAGCGGAUUCUAAAGAGGAAAAUUUGGAAACCACGUUCAUUAUGCUUACGAUGUCGAGAAAAAGUAUCGGGUGCUCGCGUCACUAGUAUCCAUGCUAAAAAUAGUGACAAGAACAGGAGGUCAUAAAUAUCCUUCACUUUGUCAAGAGAUUUGAUGAAAAAGAGGCAUGGAAAUCUUUUUCGCGCACUUUGGAAACACAUGCUCCACUUCUUUUCGUAGGAAAUGCACGUGCAUACUCUAUUUCUAUCAGAAAAUUAUCGUACAUGCUGUAACAAGGUGUGCCUUUAUAGCUUUUUUCAAUGACUUUUAAGUGUAGACGCACGCGCACGUCGCAAUAUCCAGAAACCUUUGGGGAGGACAAGACCCACUCUAAGUUUAACGGAGACCGGCGUACUCUACCCGGCCCGCAUCUUUGCGGACUGUCUCGGCGGUCGUGGUACGCAUCGUCUGCUGUCCCAUCCUUUCCACGUCCACCGAGUUGAGCCGACGAAUAUCCCCCUCCUCCCCUGCCGUGGCGUCGCUCUCACGGUGUCAGCCGGUCACACGUACGGUCCAGGUAAAACCCAGCUCGCUCGAUCGGUACACGGUCAUUCCAUCCAUCCACUCACCCAGUCACCCGUCCUGACAGCUUUGGUUUUGGUUUCAGCUCAUCUCGUUAUCCGCGGGCGCUCGCAUUUGCGCGGCGCAGAGCGGAGCGCGGACGGAGACCAGCCACGCGGUCGGCUCGGCCGGGCUGGGCUGCUGGCGCGCGCGUGGCGACCCUUGGGCGUGCGCCAAGGCCAAGCGGCCAAGGCAACCGCGUCCGCGCGCGCAGGCGCUCACAUGGUUAGGCAGCGGCAGCAGGGGUAGGCGAUCGGCGCGACGCCGACCCCGCGCGUGCUGCCGCGGGGUGUGGAGCCCGGAGCCCCCCCACGGGCAGUGACCAGUGUGCAGGACAGGAGGCGGCGGCUGCGAGCAGCCGGGCACGGUGCGCACCACGCGCCACUUCGCACCCAGCCCUUGGCGCCCCCGGCAAGGGCAGGUUCCCUACGCCGUGGGACGCGUAUAUAAACCUGGCCGCGGAUUGGUCAGUGUCAGUGGAGUAGCUAGUAAGCCUGCCACCGCCACCGGCCGCAGAUUGAGAUUGGAUUCCCCUGUCCGCUAGGUACAGUAGGUUAAAGAAUUCGACGGCCAGGCAGGCCAGUUGGUGGGAGGGAGGUGCGCGCGCGGGGGCUCGUGGUUUUGCCGUGACUUCGGCGGCCUUUUGGCGCUUUUCCGCCCGCUGUGUACGGCGGUGGCCGCUGGCCAGAAUGAAUGGUUUGGAGCCUCGAGCACGGCCGUGUCUCCGGCCAGGACGGCCGGCUGUCAAGAAGCUGAGAUCGCUAGGCUAGAGCAUGUGCGAGCAGUAGCGAGGUGUCGUGCCGGGAUUGGACGAUCGGUUGCUGUGCUGGAGGGAGGCUUUAUUUGCUUGUGGAUCGAUACGAAACUACCACUGAAUCUUGGCACGGGCUCGCGUACGGGUGCAAACAUGUACUCUAGCUAACAUGGAAAGCAUGCAACAUACUGGAUUUUCGGUAUCCAAGUCUCUGUUAAGUGAUGCUAUGCAUAAUGCAUGCAUCAGUAGUGUGCUCGCGUUUGUCUAGUUGUCUAUGCAUGCCAGCUUGAUGAAGGUACACUGCUCAUUUGCUCCACCAGCUACCGAGCUAGCGAGCUCACAUCUAUAGUUGCUGGUUGGCUACAUAAGCCAUGUCACGUGCCGUCGUGGUCCCUGCUUCAUACAGUAUUCAGUGGCAAGUAUCUUGACCCGGCCCGAAGAUGCAGGGGCACCCCGUGCCGCAUGAUUCCGUGAACGAGAGCUGCGUGCAUGUUGAUGCCAAGAUUCCUAAGAUGAUUGGCGCAUUGCUAGAAGAUGUUGGCACUUUUUUUUUCCUUUCGUGGGUGGGUCCAUGCACGCAUUAAAGCAAUGGACGCGAUACAAAGAUGGAAUCUGCUGCCUGAAAUUGUAUCAAACGGACCGACCGAAUCUGUAGUCUAAAUUGGAUCAAAGGUGCGUCUCGCAGCGGGCGGACUCUUUCUAUCGUUUAUACUUAAAAGAAAUAUAAUCUUCAAAAAUACGAGCAUCCUUCUAAGCUAAGGAUUAAUUGAAACCUGAGUGCAUUAAGUAAAGAACUUGCCUUCCAUCCAGGAGCUUUUGUCCCGAUUAAUUUUAGACUCGGGACUAAAGUGGCUUUAGUUCCGGAUAAAAAAUGAGCCACCGAAGAUCACCGACGGGGGAAGCUUUAAUUCUGGUUGUAAAGACCAACCAGGACUAAAGCCCUUUAGUCCCGGUUGUAACAGCUAGUGUUUUGUCCCGGUUGAAAACACCAACCAGGACUAAAGGCUCCCCUAAUCCCAGUUGGAAUUACCAACCAUGACUAAAGAUUUAGUCCCCCUAGUCCUGGUUGGAAUUACCAACCGGGACUAGGGGAGGGGGGACCUUUAGUCCCGGUUGGCCACCAAUCGGGAUAAACCACCCCUUUCCCGACCUCCACCUUAUCUUGCUCCUCUCCCUCUUCUCUCUCUCUCACUCUCACUUUUCUCUCACCCUUCUGCCCGUGCCGCUCCCUCCCCUCCCUCUCCCGCCGCCCCCUCCCUUCCCUCUCCCGCUGCUACCCCUUCCCUCUCCCUCUCCCGCCGCCACCCCCUCUGCUACCCUUCCCCUUCCCCCUCUGCUCACCCCUCACUGGCAGUGAGGAGCGGCAACAAGGCGAGGUGCAGGGCAGGAGUCCGAAGCUCCAGGCGGGCGCGGGCAGGAGUCCGGAGCUCCAGGUAUGCUUAACUCCUCACUGACGCUUGACUCCUCUCUAGGACGUGCUGGCGGGGCUCGGGACCGUUAUUUUCUUAUUUGUUUCUGAAACUUUUUAGUCCCGGUUGGUAGUACUAACCGGGACUAAAAGGGGUCUUUAGUCCCGGAUGAAUGACCCGGGACUAAAGGAACCCCCUUUUGUCUCGAAAACUUAAUCCUGAUUGGAUUUUUAGGAUCUAUGACCCUAUUCAACUGGGACUAAAGGCCCAUUUUCCACUAGUGGUAGGCACGUUCGACUACAAGGAACCUGAUCAACUAAAUUAUUCUAAGUUCACUAAAAAACUAAAUUAUUCUAAGUUUUUUAAUUUUAAUCUGUACAAAUACCAACCUACACUUAAUUAGGAAAUAGUUUCAAAAUCCCUUUCAAAAAAUUAAAUGGUUUCUAAAGAACAAUACUAUUACAUUAUUAAAAACAAAAACUGAGUUCCAAGAUAGUCAUGCUGUCUGCCAGUUCCAAGAACAAUACUAGGCCGGUGACACCAAGCGUUCCAGUAGCUAGGGCUUAACCUGAAAUAUCCAACUCUUGACGCCCCGUUUGUGGUUGGGGACAAUUUCAAUGAUUAGAUGCACUAUGCCUAGGUGGACAUCCUAAACAGAAAUAUACUUUGUUAUAUACUAGAACUGGCCAAAAUUUACAAACCUUAUACAAAAUAGUAUAAUCCAGUACGAACUUUCAAAGUUCGUGUUUUCAGAAGGGCUAGCUUUUUUUUAAGACUAGCAAAAUGACUUAGCAUCUUACCUUACUAGUGGUACGGAGAUGUUAAAUAACUAAAUAUGAGAAAUUCCUAUAAAAAUCAAGCACCAUUAAAAUUUUUACCACGGGAGUUAAUUUGCUUCUAAAUUACCCAUUCAUUCCACUAAAAUAGUAAAUAUAUAAAGUACCCACAUCCAUUAUUGUAAAAAUAGCAUAAACUAACCAUUAUUCUGCAUUCAAAUUAUACAUGGAUAUUUAACCUACAUCUAAAAUAACCCAAAUUACCAUUAUACGUGCUUCUAAAUACCAACUUUUGGAAGCUUGCAGUGGAAACUGUCCAUCCAGGUAAAAUCAGAAUGUUUCCACUAAAAUAUUAUGAAGAUUUCUUGUGGUGAAAUAUAUAUAUAGAUUUGAGCCUCUAACUCAACACGAAUGUUUGUAUCUGCUAAUUCUUUUUUCCAAUGGUAGGCGAUGGGAUCAUCAACAUCAAGGUAGCUGUGGUGACUUCAUGAGUCUGAAGAUUUGUUGAACUAGUAGUCUUUCGAUCGAAGAUGUUCAUAAGUAUAGGAUGUUCAUGUAUGAAUUCAGAGGGUUUUUGCAUGUGAGCAUUUUUGCACGCGUCCGCAUCUUUACAAUGUUUUAAAAUCACCAACUUCUGUCAUUUUCUACCUUUAUAGUUCUUCUCUAGUUGAAUUCAUUUUAUUUGAUUGCACUUUAAAUAGAAUCAUCUAUAUUUUUACUAAAAUAUUAUUACAUAUAUACAUUGAUGUUUUAAUCGUAAACACAUCAAUUAUUUUAGAAAAAAAUACAUGACUACACUCAUAGUUGUUCUAUAGAGGAAAUUUGAUAUCUUGGGUACUUUGGUGAAAGCUGAAACAUCUAUUUAUUCCAUUACAGUAACCAAGAGUAUAGUAACUAAAAAUCUAAAUUCUUAAUAGAAUCCAUAUAUAGCAUAUAGAAUAAUAGGUACAACAUGCUAUAGAGUUUCAAGUUAAUAUUUGGAGAAUUUUUUUUGGCAUACUAAUUGCAGUAGGUAAGAUUGAAUGGGAAGCCAAAAUCUGGAUUCAUGAAGUCACAAGAGAUGAGCUUGAACAAAAGCUGUCAUAAUUCAAGCUAAUUUUGAUUAAACAUAUAUCAAACGCACCGCGUUACGAUACAAUAGGAAAUAAACUAUGAAUGGGUAUUAAAAACAUACACAAUAAUUUAUAACCUAAAUAUAUGAUAAAGAUCACAGCGCAUUUAUGUAAUUAAUGCAUCUUAAAGUUGCCAUUAGUGGGGAAUGCAAGUGUUUUUCUCCGCAAACCCGCAUAUACCAUCUCAAAAAAUGACGUACAUGUACAUGCGGGUUCGCGGACAAGCCCAUUUGUAUCUCUAUUGCUAGCCACAUAGGAGCACAAGUUGAUGGAUUAGUUGAACACUAUCAGGCAACAUGUAAUUAAACAGUGUUUGUUUUGAACUUCGUGCAAGUGAGAUACUUUUACUUGGUCUCCAAAUGCAUGCAUUCUCUGAAAUUACCAAUCUUAUCCUAGUGUGAACCAACAAAAAUGUACACACAACCAGACCAUGUCGUUUCCAGGUUGGAACGCAAACUAAAUUGUCAAUCUUUGCAAAGCAACCAAGAAUUACGAGAUCAACAAUUUUUGUGGCGCCGAAGAGUGCUCCUCAAAGUGCCAAGCGUUAGUGUGCUAGCUAGGCCGUAACGAAACUUGUGGCGCAUACUGCCUUUUGAGGCGCCGCGCCCGUGUAUAUAUACGCCCCCUCAUGCAUGCUCUCCUUGAGCAGGCAGCCAGGCACGCACCAAUACCAAGCCUCUCCCGGGCCAGCUUCUAGCAUUGGCUCAUCACCAGCACUCCAGCAGGCAGGCAAAACGCAAGCAACACCUCUCCGCCAGACAUCAUGGCCGCUUCUGUCGAGCCGCGGCAGCAGUUCGGCCGCCUCGAGGCGGUGCGGGGAGCCGCCGCGAACGGCGCCAAGGCGUACCCUCCUCCGGCGAGCCACAUCCCUCGCCGCGCCGACUCUCCCGUGCGCGGCUGCGGCUUCCCUCCCCUCGUCUCGCCGCCGCGCACCAAGCCCGACGAGGCGUCGGACGACGAGGACGACGAGCAGGAGGACUGGCGCGAGCUCUACGGCUCCCACCUGCAGCUAGAGGUGGAGCCGGCGGUGCACGACUCGCGCGACGAGGGCACCGCGGACGCGUGGAUCGAGCGCAACCCGUCCCUCAUCCGGCUCACCGGCAAGCACCCGCUCAACUGCGAGCCGCCGCUGACGCGCCUGAUGCACCACGGCUUCAUCACCCCGGCGCCGCUCCACUACGUGCGCAACCACGGCGCCGUGCCGCGGGGCGACUGGGCGACGUGGACCGUCGAGGUGACGGGCCUCGUCAAGCGCCCCGCCCGGCUCACCAUGGAGGAGCUCGCCCGCGACUUCCCCGCCGUCGAGGUCCCCGUGACGCUCGCCUGCGCCGGCAACCGGCGCAAGGAGCAGAACAUGGUGCAGCAGACGGUGGGCUUCAACUGGGGCCCCGCGGGGGUGUCCACCUCCGUGUGGCGCGGCGCGCGCCUCCGCGACGUGCUCCGCCGGUGCGGCGUCAUGCCGCGCAAGGGCGGCGCGCUCAACGUCUGCUUCGAGGGCGCCGAGGACCUCCCCGGCGGCGGCGGGUCCAAGUACGGCACCAGCAUCACCCGGGAGUGGGCCCUGGACCCGUCCCGGGACAUCAUGCUCGCCUACAUGCAGAACGGCGAGCCGCUGCUGCCGGACCACGGCUUCCCGGUCCGCGUCAUCAUCCCCGGCUGCAUUGGUGGGCGCAUGGUCAAGUGGCUCAAGCGCAUCAUCGUCACCCCCGUCGAGUCCGACAACUACUACCAUUACAAGGACAACCGCGUCCUGCCGUCGCACGUCGACGCCGAGCUCGCCAAUGCUGAAGGUAAAAUCACGGAAGCAACACCAAUAAUCGUCAAAUUUCGAGCAUUUCUUCGCUAAAUUUCUGAGCAAAUGUGUGACUGUUAUUGCAAAUGCGCAGCGUGGUGGUACAAGCCGGAGUACAUCAUCAACGAGCUGAACAUAAACUCGGUCAUCACGACGCCGGGGCACGACGAGAUCCUGCCCAUCAACAGCAUCACCACGCAGCGGGGCUACACCAUGAAAGGAUACGCCUACUCCGGUGAGUUCUAUGCGGCCCCUGACUUUUCUUUCUUUUGACUAUGACUUUGCUUAGCUGUUACGAAUAUAUAUGAAACUUUGGCCCCGGAGUUUUCAUAUUCAUAUGGCGGUGCCGUGACACGGCUUACAUGACGCAGUGUGGUUUUUCAUCCAAGUUUCACCAGCAUAGACGCAAAGCAUAGAGAAAACCAGUUGUUGUUGUAUCCUUAUACAAUUUGAAAAACCUGUUCUUCCACCAUGCCCAACCAGUAUCUCCAUUGUUAUCUCAAAUAACCCUGUUUAACCUAAACAUAGCAAACAACUUAAGAGUGAUGCACACCUUAUUAAACUAGCUAACUUGUUUAUUGCCAUAUUCUUAGUCCAAGAAAAAAAUAAUCUGACUUAGGAAAUAUGACUAGUGCAGCCAUGAAGAGGCAUUCCUGAAGAAGACCUUUUCAUUCUAUUUUUCAGAAAGGGAACAUUUUUCACUAUAAAGAUCCUAAUACGUUGAACUGUCGAUAUCAUAACUAGCAGACCACAAAGUUUGAUUCUUUCACGAAGAAAGUUUAGGAGAAUAUGGAAUCUAACAAGGCAUACGUGACGUAACAAGAAACGCACUUUUAAUUUGGUAAAACACUGUACUUUUGACUGUUGAGGAAGUCUAGAUGACCAACAAGAGCACUAAGGGUACUCAACCAGCAAUUUGCAAACAUGGAGGACCCUUUCAUGAUUAUACUACCAGUCCCCUGGAACUAGCUUGGAAACCGGGUGCUGGAAACAAUGCACAAGUUGAUAGUUUGCUAUGCCCAACAUGUGCAUGCACUUUUCUGCUAGAGAAAGCGUGCACAGCCGUGUUGGCACUUCGUUGCAUCCAAAAGGUGCUCAGCUGAACACCACAAAAAAAAUGUUCCUUCUGCAAUGGUCAAAGAGGGCGCUGCUGAAUUUGUGUGGCAAGGGUGAGAAACGAACAAUAAGCUGUCACUGUGCCUCUGUUUUGUCGGUUACUGUGGGCUGUGGCAGCAAGGCAUGUAUAGGUUGCAACUGGUUCUCUCAAAAGAAAAAAAAUGUACAGUUUGCACCUGGGGGCGGCUGGGAAACAUUUGACAAGUCCACUUGUGGUCAAAAGGGGCUGCAGUCUAGGUGGCCAAUCAGAGCUAGAAUAAAGAUCCAUCUUCUAUCAGGACCUUUUUUUUUUUAACCUUUCCUGGCAGUCAAAGAAACUUACUAAUUUGGUAAAAAAAAGUGACUGAGGGUAGAAGUCGAGCUGAGCCUAACGACUUUUCUCUGUUUUGGCGCGUAGGCGGCGGCAAGAAGGUGACACGGGUGGAGGUGACGCUGGACGGCGGCGAGACAUGGCUGGUGUGCGACCUCGACCACCCAGAGAAGCCCAACAAGUACGGCAAAUACUGGUGCUGGUGCUUCUGGUCCGUCGAGGUCGAGGUCCUCGACCUCCUCGGCGCCAAGGAGAUCGCCGUCCGCGCCUGGGACCAGUCCCUCAACACCCAGCCCGAGAAGCUCAUCUGGAACCUCAUGGUACUUUGUCACUGGCAUCGUGCAGGAGCUCCAUUGAUUCAUGGCACUCUGUUUCUUGUGUGGAUUCUGAUGGUUCUCUGUUCGUUGGGCAGGGCAUGAUGAACAACUGCUGGUUCAAGGUGAAGGUGAACGUGUGCCGUCCGCAUAGGGGCGAGAUCGGUCUGGUGUUCGAGCACCCGACGCAGCCCGGCAACCAGACCGGCGGGUGGAUGGCGCGGCAGAAGCACCUGGAGACGGCGGAGGCCGCCGCUCCGGGGCUCAAGCGCAGCACGUCCACGCCCUUCCUCAACACCACCGACGGCAAGCAGAUCACCAUGUCCGAGGUGCGCAAGCACGCGUCGCAGGAGUCGGCGUGGAUCGUGGUGCACGGCCACGUCUACGACUGCACCAAGUUCCUCAAGGACCACCCGGGCGGCGCCGACAGCAUCCUCAUCAACGCCGGCACCGACUGCACGGAGGAGUUCGACGCCAUCCACUCCGACAAGGCCAAGGCGCUCCUCGACACCUACCGCAUCGGCGAGCUCAUCACCACCGGCACCGGCUACAACUCCGACAACUCCGUCCACGGCGGGUCCGUGCUCUCCCACCUCGCGCCCAUCCGCGAGGCCAUCAGGGCUCCCGCGCCCGUCGCUCUCUCCAACCCGCGCGAGAGGAUCCACUGCCGCCUCGUCAGCAAGAAGGAGCUCUCCCGCGACGUCCGCCUCUUCCGCUUCUCCCUCCCGUCGUCGGACCAGGUGCUCGGCCUCCCCAUCGGCAAGCACAUCUUCGUGUGCGCUACCAUCGAGGGGAAGCUCUGCAUGCGGGCGUACACGCCGACGAGCAUGGUCGACGAGAUCGGUCAUUUCGACCUCCUCGUGAAGAUCUACUUCAAGAACGAGCACCCCAAGUUCCCCAACGGCGGGCUCAUGACCCAGUACCUGGAGUCGCUGCCGAUCGGCGCAUACAUCGACGUGAAGGGACCUCUGGGCCACGUCGAGUACACCGGCCGCGGCAACUUCGUGAUCAACGGCAAGCAGCGCCACGCGAAGCGCCUCGCCAUGAUCGCCGGCGGGAGCGGGAUCACGCCCAUGUACCAGGUGAUCCAGGCGGUGCUGCGCGACCAGCCGGAGGACCAGACGGAGAUGCACCUCGUGUACGCCAACCGGACGGAGGAUGACAUCCUCCUCCGCGACGAGCUGGACCGGUGGGCGGCGGACUACCCGGACAGGCUCAAGGUGUGGUACGUGAUCGACCAGGUGAAGCGCCCGGAGGAAGGGUGGAAGUACAGCGUCGGGUUCGUGACGGAGGCCAUCGUGCGGGAUCACGUGCCGGAGGGCGGCGACGACACGCUCGCCCUCGCCUGCGGGCCGCCGCCGAUGAUCCAGUUCGCCAUCUCGCCGAACCUGGAGAAGAUGAAGUACGACAUGGCCAAUUCUUUCAUCGUCUUCUAAGACAGUAGCGGCCAACCAAUUAAUUUGGUACGUACAACGCACCACAUUUACUGUAUAUACAAAAACUAGCCGAAUUGCCAGCGUAAAUUACAUGAGAGAUGGGGUUGUGGGAAGAAGGAUUAUAAGUUGUACACUUGUACCCUGCUCUAGCCAAGAAUUAUGAGGCCAGAGCGGCACAUAGGCCAUGUUUUGCCCUCAGGAUUUGCAGCUAGUGAAUUCUGAGGGGAGCACUGUUUAUUUCUUCCUGUAUACUACUAGCAUGUAACUAUUGUUCUUAGACUUCUUAUGGAAAUACCUGAAUGUGUCCUUUCUUUUUUAAGGCUGAAUAUGUAUGUUAGUUGUUUCAAGAAGAGAAAUAUAAGUUUAACAAAUUAAAUUGUAUUUCUUCUUUCUGAAAUUUCCUCUUCUUGCUUGCAGCAGUUUCCUGUUUUUUUUCAAACAAUCUUUAUAAAGGCAAGGAGUUCCGGUAAUUCACUAUAGAAAACUGGCAACGGUAAAAUAAGCCAAAAUGACUAACCAGAGUGGCUCUCCAUUACUCACCAACAUUCUACAAACAAUGGAGUCCAAUCCAGCGAAUUAGAUUUAAUAUUCUUCCACAAAAUUAGUUUAGAAUAUAGAACAUUAUAUAUAUAAUAGGUAACUUAUUUUAAAAAAACUUAACAUCCCACACCAUUUUCAAGAUAAGGAGGCCAUAACCUUGCAAAUAAGAAUCAAAUAAAACCUGGAAGCAAAAUUGUAAAAUUCGACGGGGACUGGUCAUGUCGGAGGGUCAUCCGGCGUUCACAAUUUUUUUGGGUAGUUGAGAAAUUACUAAUUCUGGACCCCUAUCGUAUAUGUAGCCCCACUUCAUCCAGCUAAGUGGUCUUGCCAUUCUUACGAGUCAAAACAUCUCACGAGAGAUCAAGAGGCAAAGGAAUUCACUUUCUUUAUCAAAGUUCUUGAUGUAACAUUAGGGACAUUAUUAAUGCAAGGAGAGUGCCAAGUGUGCAUAUAGUCAAGUGUUAGGCUUCAUUUGGGUGCCAAGAGUGCAAGAUCAGGGACAUUUUUUUUGAAUGCUCGUUACCCUUCGUGGUUGGCAACGUCUAGUCGGCCUUGGGAUUUGGAGCACUUCUUCGUGAGCUAUCGAACAAGGGUUAUUUUUUAGGGGUAGCUUUCCCGCAUUUGCUUUCUUGCAAGUUCAAUUCCACAUUUACUUCAUGUUAAUUAGCUCGCUACAUUUGUUGCCUAGGUUCUUGUUUUGUUUAGAAUUCCUGGCUAAGGUUUCUAAUUGUUCUAGAACUAGAUUCUAACCGGUUCCAAUUACCCCCCACCCAGCGAGCUGGCCAUUCGAUAUUUUUGUAUGGUGAAUCUAGCUAUGCAAUUGUGUGUCUGUACAACACAAAUUUAUCAUUCUGCACAAAGCCUUUCUUCAAUUCUUCACUGUGCAAGGACGUCGUGCAAUUCCAUGCGCACGAUGAUGGAAACACAAGCCUUAUGUCAUAAUUGAUGAAUAGCUUGAUCUUUUGUUAACUUGCUCAUGCUAGACAAUUAAGGGGUUACACAAAGAAAUAGUCACACUAUUAGAAUGGGCUAACUUGCUCCUUUAGAUAUGCCAUAAUAAUAGUCUUUUCCAUGCAUCAUAACAUACAACAACGUGAUCUAACAUUAUAUAGCAUGGUACAAUAGCACUUUUGACUUUGCCAUACACUCUGGAAUAAAUGUUUUUUAUCCAGUACACAACCAUUGUGUAUCCAGUACACAAUAUUUCUAUUUUUGUAUACAACGAUGUGCCAUUCACAUGUGGGCCUAUGCUCGACUUAUUCAUCCCUAUAUAUACUUCAAGUUUUCUUUAUUCAAUGUACAGUUAUGUAGAACUAUUUAUUUUAUUUCUGGCAAUGAACUCACGAUAUUAGGACUUAGAAGACGAUGAAAGAACUGGACCUCUGGUACUUCAUCUUCUUCAGGUUCGGCGAGACAGCGAGCUGGAUCAUCGCCGGCGGCCCGCACGCGUGCGCCAGCGUGUCAUCACCGCCUUCUGGCACGUGUUCCCGCAGGAUCCCCUCGGUCACGAAGCCAACGCUAUACUUCCAUCCCUCCUCCGGGCGCUUCACCUGGUCGACGACGUACCACACCUUGAGCCUGUCCUGAUACUCCGCCGCCCACCGGUCUAGCUCGUCGCGCAGGAGGAUGUCGUCCUCCGUGCGGUUGGCGUACACCAGGUGCAUCUCCGUCCGGUCCUCCGGCUGGUCGCGCAGCACCGCCUGGAUCACCUGGUACAUCGGCGCGAUCCCGCUCCCGCCGGCGACCAUCGCGACGCGGCGCACCUGCCGCGGCUCGCCGCCGAUCGUGAAGCCGCCGCGGCCGGUGUACACGACGUGGCCGAGGGGGCCCUUGACGUCUAUGCGGGAGCCGAUCAGGAGGGAUUCCAGGUGCUGGGUCAUGAGCCCGCCGUCGGGGAACUUGGGGUGCUCGUCCUUGAAGUAGAUUUUUACGAGGAGGUCGAAGUGGCCGGCCUCGUCUGCCGCGCUCGUCGGCGUGUACGCCCGCGCGCAGAGCUUGCCGUCGAUGUCGGCGCACACUAGGAUGUGCUUGCCGAUGGGGAGGCCGAGCGCCUGGUCGGAGGAUAGCAGGGCGAACCGGAAGAGGCGGACGUCACGUGAGAGCUCCUUCUUGUCGACGAGGCGGCAGGGGACCUUCUGGCGCGGGUUGGAGAGCGCGACGGCGGGCGCGGGGGGAUUAACGGCCGCGGGGAUGGGGUCGAGGUGGGAGAGACUGGAGGACGCGCAGUGGACGGAGUUGUAGCCGGUGCCGGUGGUGACGAGCUCGCCGAUGCGGUAGGCGUCGAGGAGGGUCUUGUCCUUGUCGGAGUGGAUGGCGUCGAACUCCUCGGUGCAGUCGGUGCCGGCGUUGAUGAGGAUGCUGUCGGCGCCGCCCGGGUGGUCCUUGAGGUACGCGGUGCAGUCGUACACGUGCCGUGGACGACGAUCCAUGCCGAGUCGCGCGACGCGUGCUCGCGAACCUCGGCCAUGGUGAACCGUUUAGCGUCGUCGGUGGUGUUCGUGGUGGCCUCCGCCGCGUCAAGGUGCUUCUGCCGCGCCAUCCGCCCGCCCGGCUGGUUGCCGGGCUGCGUCGGGUGCUCGAACCCCAGCCCGAUCUCCCCAUUGUGCGGCCGGCGCACGUUCACCCUCACCUUGAACCAGCAGUUGGUCAUCAUCCCCUGAAAACACGAUCCAUCUCAGAGCAUCAUCAGAAAUUCAGAAUCCACCAGAAAAAAAACAGAGUGAUGUGCCAAACGAUCGAUGCCUUCGUACCAUGAGGUUCCAGACGAGUUUCUCGGGCUGGGUGUUGAGCGACUGGUCCCAAGCGCGGACGGCGAUCUCCUUGGCGCCGAGGAGGUCGAUGACCUCGACAUAGACGGACCAGAAGCACCAGCACCAGUACUUCCCGUACUUGUUGGGCUUCUCCGGGUGGUUGAGCUCACACAAUAACCAUGUCUCGCCGCCGUCCAGAGUGACCUCCACUCGUGUCACCUCCUUGCCACCACCUACACAACAGAAAACGGAGAAAUAAUCAUGUAAAUGUAAUGGUUUAAACUGUCAUUAGCUUAAAAUCCAACUCCGCACGUGCACCUAUCUUCUUCCUUACUGGCCGAUGCGCCGAUGCAUACAACUCAAUAUAGCAUAAGAUCAAAUGUCUUAAGUUUAAACCUAGUAGGCAUGAUUAAAUAAAAAACAGUUAUAGUGGACUUAUAUUUUUCACGUUUUGAGGUCCGCCCAUAGCCAGCCGUCCUGAUUUGUGUCCAGCAGCGCCUUAUAUGCACCACUGCUAGGCGGUUAACCUGCUUCCGUGGCCUUCUUUCAAUCUCUUUUAUGGAUGCUUCAGAAAAAAUAGCUCCACUUCACUAACCCCACAAAAUUGCCUGUCAAACCCUCCAGUUACAUAAAUUUCAGCUUCAAAAAAACGUGGAGCUAGGGGUCAGAUACACAUUUUUCCUAGAGUAUCUCAGAGGUGCUCCAAAAACAACAGUUUCAGACUUCCUCGUAGAGUUGAGGGUUAUUUACUCACCUUUACCACUCGUUACACAACAUACUGGUUCGUUUCUAAUUUUUGUAUCCCUUCCCCAUUGCUGUUUCCUCCAUCUGCCGCUCAGCCCUUUCUAGAAGCGUCGGAGCAAUUGGCAGAAGGCAAGGAAGAAACCCUAGACCAUCGGAUGUUCCAAUGCUAGAUCAAGAGAAGUGUCGGACGAAGCAUAUUCACUUCAGAAACUUCCAGAGAUGUUUUGAGCAAAAACUCUUCAGCACCGAAUGUUCCGACGGUAGUAUUGGACAAAGCGUCGGAUGAAUUUUGAGUGAGUCAGUGAAGAAGUUGGGCAUGGAGGAGCCAACGGCUAGCUGCACUGGAUGUUCCGAUGCAUGUCAAAAUAGAUCAUCGGAACAUCUGAUGGUAUACUGUAACUAGCCGUUGGAGCAACGACUCUUUGAUGCCUUGGGCUAUUUAUACCCCUUCCACUCGCCUAUUUGAAGUGUUGGAGUGUGCAGAAGUCUAUUGGAGAUCAAGACUCAUCAAGAACACAUCCAAGCCACCAAAAGUGCUUAAGUGAUUAUUCAAAGGCUUAGUACAAGCUUAGAAGAGUGUUUAGUGCUAGGAUAGGCCUAGAGAAGAGAGAGUGCAAGGUGUGUUUACCUUGUGAUCGGUUCAAGGAGUGAACCAUAGCAGGAGCAACCUGUACAAGCUGUGCUGGUGCCUUGAAGCCUUGGUGUCUCGCCGACAAGUUUUCGACCCUUUGACUUGGUGUGGAGCAACACCGACGACCGUGUGUGGAGAAUUGGAAGACCCCCUUCCUUCGUGGAAAAGCUCCUUAGUGGAGACGACAUCAAGGUGACUGGGUAACUUGGCGUGAGCCUUAGCAGUCGAGUCUUUGUGGCAAGUCAAGGGAUGUCCCGGAAGAGACUUGAUGACCAGGAAGCAAUACUCCUGUGUGAGUGUUUCAACAACGUGGACUAGUGGUGGCUUAGUGUCUACCGAUACCACGGGAUAAAUCAUUGUGUCAAGAGUUUGCUUCCCCUCAUCCUCGCCUCUUACAUUACUGCAUUUCAUACUUGCAACUUAUGUACCUUUACUUUCUUAGUGUAGUAUGUUGCUAGAAUUGACUCUAGGUUGCAAAAGUUAUUUUGGGAUGAGGGUUUCAUACUAGAUCAACCUUAGUUGCACAUCUUGAUAGCAUGAUCUAGUUUAUAUUUGUGAAUUAGUAGUGGAAGCCAUAAUUUAAGGUUUUAGAUUGCCUAAUUUGGUCCUUCCCUCUACGAACACCAAUUCCUUGUACAGGAGCUACAAAGCACGGCUCCUGCCGGCGUACCACUGAGCUUCUGCCCAGACUGCAAAUGUACUAUACUGCCCAAACCUUCGAAUUGCGCUUGCUCCUAUUUGGAGGCUGUGUACCUCAGUGGCUAUUGCAGCUCUAGAAAUCUCUGGUUUGUACUGUACAUUGUACAGUACUACAUUCACCACUCACCACCAUUUCAUCACUUCAACAGCCCAGAGUUUCCUUUACUUUUUCUUUCUUUGCUCCUGAAAGGGAGGAGCAAUAGCUGCAAUGCUCAGAAGGUACACAAACACAAUGCACUCUUCUACUAGCACUUUGGAGGACGUUAUGCUCACUUGAUAGUAUAUUACUCCCGAUGAGAGUAAACUUUGUUCUUACACUUCGGAUCCAUUCAAAUCGGCAUGCUUUGGUACCUCGAUAUGCAAGCAGAGUUGCCUUGCAUAUCACUCAUGUGUUGCUCCUCCCAAGGGGAGCACUGAGCAUGAUACAGCCAGCUUCAUUCCAACACGGGACAUCGGAGUAGUUCGUUCACGUGGCGGGCAGCAGAAGUCUUGGACAUUUGACCUGUUUGUAGUAUUUCGCCGUCUAAAUGAAAUUUUGAAUUGAGACGACUGGUGUGCAUCAACCAGCAAUAACUUCUUUUCUUAUACAGGCAGGUAAUUCUUUGAAGAGCAUAAUAAUGUAUAUGUUCUUUGAUCAAACAAGAAUUUCUUGUUCUACCACCAUGCUUGGUACAUAAAAGUUUAGUCCCGGCCGGCUCCCGAAUCGCAAUCACCAUUUGGUAAGGUAUUGAAUAAUUCCUUCCAUCACAGAUCUCUAAACUUGACGAGCUUGCGUUGAUCUGCCGGAGCUGAAAACCAAAAUUAUUCCAGCUGAACACCCGUCCCUCCCUGCAUCUGCGGAAGCUUCCAUUCACUGACACUGAAGUCUGUGAAUAGCCUCCUCUAUACUCGAGUAGUUUACCCCAUUAUCCAUGGUCAAUCAACCCUUCGAUCCAUUUUUACACCUUAUCCAAGACAUCAACAGGUACAUCCCCAAACCAAUUAACCUUCCUGCAGUUCAGAACCACGCUCAAGCACGAUUUCACACACUACAUUCUGCAAAACCAUCUUACAUUAGUCCCUGAUGCCUUGCUGCACACUAAACAUACACGUAGUUUAUAAAAGAUGAGGAGGACCGUGGAAUCUCCUUGCUCACAACCUCCGUUACAAGUUGACUGUCUCACUCGCCACCGCUCCAAAAUGGCAGCCCCUGUCCUCUUGCUCAUCCUACUCGUGCCUGCCAUGUCGUUGCCCGUCGCGCAUUGCGACGACAACGACGUCGGGUUCCAGCUCAAGCUGACCCAUGUCGACGCGGGCAGGUCGUUCACCAAGCUGCAGCUCCUCAACCGCGCCAUCGCCCGGAGCAAGGCCCGGGUGGCGGCGCUGCAGGCCGUCGCCGCUGUGACGUCGCCCGCGGUGGACCCGAUCACCGCGGCGCGCAUCCUGGUGACGGCUAGCACUGGCGAGUACCUGGUGGGCCUGGCCAUCGGCACGCCGCCGCUCUACUUCACGGCGAUCAUGGACACCGGCAGCGACCUCAUCUGGACGCAGUGCGCGCCGUGCCUUCUCUGCGCCGACCAGCCCACGCCCUACUUCGACGCGAGGAAGUCCGUCACGUACCGCGCGGUGCCGUGCCGGUCGACGCGGUGCGGGCAGCUCUACUACCCGGCCUGCUUCCAGAAGGUGUGCGUGUACCAGUACUACUACGGCGACACGGCGUCCACCGCCGGCGUCCUCGCCAACGAGACCUUCACGUUCGGCGCCGGCAACUCCACCAAGGUCCGGGCGCCCAACGUCUCGUUCGGGUGCGGCAGCAUCAACGCCGGCGACCUCGCCAACAGCUCCGGCAUGGUCGGCUUCGGCCGCGGGCCGCUGUCGCUGGUGAGCCAGCUCGGCCCGUCCAGGUUCUCCUACUGCCUGACGUCCUACCUCUCGCCGACGCCGAGCAGGCUCUACUUCGGCGUGUUCGCCAACCUCAACAGCACCAACACCAGCUCCAGCUCCGGUUCGCCGGUGCAGUCCACGCCGUUCGUCGUCAACCCGGCGCUGCCGAGCAUGUACUUCCUCUCGCUCAAGGGCAUCAGCCUGGGGACCAAACGCCUGCCCAUCGACCCGCUGGCGUUCGCCAUCAACGACGACGGCACGGGCGGCGUCAUCAUCGACUCCGGCACGUCCAUCACGUGGCUGCAGCAGGACGCCUACGACGCCGUGCGGCGCGGGCUGCGGUCGGCCAUCCCGCUGCCGGCGAUGAACGACACGGACAUUGGCCUGGACACGUGCUUCCCGUGGCCGCCGCCGCCGAACGUCACCGUGACGGUGCCGGACUUCGUGUUCCACUUCGACAACGCCAACAUGACGCUGCCGCCGGAGAACUACAUGCUGAUCGCGAGCACCACGGGGUACCUGUGCCUGGCGAUGGCGCCAUCCGGCGUCGGCACCAUCAUCGGCAACUACCAGCAGCAGAACCUGCACAUUCUCUACGACGUCGCGAACAGCUUCCUGUCCUUCGUACCUGCUCCGUGCGACAUUAUAUAGCUUUUUUUCGUGUGCGCUCUUGCGUUAGCCUUCAAUAACUUCGCUGCUGGUCGUUGCAGCUGUAAUAUUACCACGUAGAGUAGCCAUUGCAUUCGCACUGAGAUUGUGUCCCCAAUUAUGUAGCUGAACAUUUAGCGUCCAAGCAUAACCAUUUUGGUGAAUCUCGAUCCGUAGUUGUACGCAUCAACUUUCAAAAAGAGCGUUAGGCUAGCCGCAUACACAUCCCAACCACCGCUAGCCCAUCCAUGAUUGUUGUAGGGCCGAAUUCGUCGAUAAAAUCAGGGCUCGAAAAUUUUUGGACUGACUCGAUCCGGGCCCAACCAUGAUCCGGGCCCGACCCAAACCUGAUGUGAAUAGUUGGCCCGACAACAUCCGGGGGAUGGUUGUGGUCACAAAUUUUAAUGAAUCGGUUUUUUUUCCGGACCUUUCUGCAAAGCGCUCGGUCUAAAUGGCUAUUUGAUCUGAUGAAAGUAUCGUUUUAAAAAAUAUUUUUUAGCUUGAUUAAAUGACUGUUUGGUCUGAUUUUUAACUAACGAUGUGUGACUGUCUGUUUAUCAGUAGUAAAAAAUUAUAUGGGCACCACUAUGAAGUAUCAACACUGAGAUUAACUAUCAUGGGCCUUCUCAAAAGGCCGUGGCUAAUCCUCAUUGGGCCUAGGAAACAAGCGUACAAUGAAAAUGAGCCCGCUUGCCUCUCUAGAGGCCCUCUUGCGUUAUUUGCACUGGGCUUCAAUUAGCUCCGCAAACAUCUUAUCAACAGGCCCAAAUACUGCACAGGUGCCAAAGGGCUCACCUCGUUGGAUUUCUGCCGAGGGCCAACAAAAGAAGGGUACAUCGCAAAACUAAUUCUACAAGCGCGCGCUGCCGCGCUUCGUGGCGCGCGAUGCAAGGUGCCGGGGGUCCCACGCUCAUGUGCAGCUGCGGAACAACGAGGCUGCGCGCUCCCGCGCGUUUUUUUACUUCUUUCUUUUUCAAUUAUUUUUUCACAAUUUGUACCAAGUAACUAUAGUAUAUGUAUUACUUAUAUAUAAGUUAUGUGCAUAAUUUUUUUAACACAUUCUCCCAAAAGUUGUGAUAAAUAUCAGGUGUAUAAAUUGUGUAUAUCAUUAAAGUUGUAUUAUGAAAUAUCAGGAAAAAAAUUAUGCAUAUAAAUUAUACGUAUAGGUUAUAACUUUCUUAAAAAAAAUAAAAACUGAAAUUAUUCUUACAAAUUGUAUCUAAAAGUCUGCACGCUAUUUAAGUUGUGCUAAAAAAUUACUUUAGAAAAAAAUUAUAUUAUGAAGUCGAAGUUAUACAUAUAAAUUAUGAUAUUUUAAAAAUAAAAAGUUGCGGUAUUUUAAACUUUCCGAAAAAGGAAAGUUGCCGGGAUGGGAGUGGGUUGUCGGGGACGAGUGCCGGCAGCCCUCGUGGCGCGCGCUGAUUAGCGCUACCCAGGUCCAUCCAGCAGUUAAAUUAGUUUGCUCGCCCUGGACGGCAGGGCAAUUCACUUGCCUGCGACGCGCUGAAGAGAUCGCAUUCGCACCCGUUCGUGGUCGCCAUGGACGGCGGGGCAAAAAAGUUCACUUGCCAUGCAUGCGAUCUCUUGCGAGGUCGUCACUAGUGGUUAAUUCACGCCCCACAACGCAUUUUCCGCACAGGUUAAUUUCAGCAUUUCACUUCCAUCGUAGGUGUAGGGGUGCCAUAGAACCGAACAAUUCUUGCUAGGUCACACCAGUGGUGCCAAGAUGCUGCUACGGCCGUCAGGCACCACUGAUAAAAAGCAAUCGCUUUCCACGGCGAAAGGCACCGUGCACCUACACUCGGCAUAUCACCAAUUUUUUUGCACCAUCAUGCGAAUCAAGAUAACGGCCACGACCCAACCACCGCGAGAACAAAUUAGCACCUUACUAAAGCCAAAGGCUAGUGCCCUCCCCGCCCGCUCGACGCUCGUCCUAGCUAGUUUCGUUCAAGGCAUGGCGAGCCAUCUCCUCCGCCCGCUUCUCUGCUUCACCGUCGUCGUCGUCGUCACCGCCGCCGCCGGCUCCGUCGACUUCCGAGCCGAGCUUAACCACCCGUACGCCAGCAGCUCGCUCUCCAGCGAGGAGUUCAUUGGCCAUGCCGCUACGGCCAGCAAGGCCCGGGCGGCGAGGAUCAAUGCCAGGCUCGCCCGCGCCGCCCUCGGCAGAGGCGGCCUGUCGUCGGCCGACGCGUCCAUCACCCCGCUCGGCGACCAGAGCCACACGCUGACCGUGGGCAUCGGCACGCCGCCGCAGCCGCGCACGCUCAUCGUCGACACGGGCAGCGACCUCAUCUGGACGCAGUGCGCGCUGUUCGGGCGCCGCACGGCGAGGCAGCGCGAGCCCCUCUACGACCCGCGCAGGUCCUCCUCCUUCGCCUUCCUCCCAUGCAGCAGCACGCUGUGCCAGGAGGGCCAGUUCAGCGACAAGAACUGCACCCGGAACAGGUGCCUCUACGACGACGUCUACGGCAGCGCGGAGGCCGGCGGCGUCCUCGCCUCCGAGGCCUUCACCUUCGGCGCCCGCAGUAAGGUCUCCCUCCCCCUCGGCUUCGGCUGCGGUGCGCUCUUGGCGGGGACCCUCGUCGGCGCCUCCGGCCUCAUGGGCCUCAGCCCCGGGACCAUGUCGCUGGUAUCGCAGCUGUCCGUACCAAGGUUCUCCUACUGCCUCACUCCUUUCGCCGAGAGUAAGACCAGCCCGAUGAUGUUCGGCGCAAUGGCUAACCUUGAAAAGUACAAGACGACAGGCCCAAUCCAGACCACCUCCAUUCUGAGGAACCCGGCAAUGGAGACUGCUUACUACUACGUGCCACUGGUAGGGCUCUCGCUUGGGACCAAGAAACUACGCGUGCCGGCGGCCAGUUUGGAGAUAAAGCCGGACGGCACCGGCGGCACGAUCGUCGACUCGGGCAGCACGCUGGCGUACCUCCCGGAGAAAGUGUUCAAGGUCGUGAAGAAGGCGGUGCUGGAGACGGUGAGGCUGCCGGUCGUUAAUGGGACCAUGGGGGAGUACGAGCUGUGCUUCGUGCUGCCGAGCGGUGGGGCGAUGAGCGCGGUGAGGACGCCGCCACUCGUGCUGCACUUCGACGGGGGCGCAGCGAUGACACUCCCCCGGGAUAACUACUUCCAGGAGCCGAGAGCCGGGAUGAUGUGCCUUGCGGUGGGCAGUGCGCCGGACGACUUCGGCGUGUCCAUCAUCGGCAACGUCCUGCAGCAGAACAUGCACGUGCUGUUUGAUGUGCGCAACCAGAAGUUCUCCUUCGCGCCCACGCAAUGUGCAGACAUCUGAGCAACGCAAUUGCAAUCUGUAGUAAUGCGUUUGUUCAGUUUCCAAUUUGAAUGGACAAAAAUGCGAGGCAUCCAACAAUGAGCAAAGAAUAAGUUUGCCCCCAUUUUAAUAUGUAUUUAUUAUUGUUUCUUUUCCCAGCAAAAAGGUCUAAAUAUUUGAGGUUUAGAAGUUCACCGUGCUUCUUAUUCUUUAUCGGCGUCCCAGUUGUUUAGAGUUGCAUUUUAUAGUAGCCACCAUCAAAGAGAAAAGUGAACAGAUUGCACUAAAAAAAGUGAACACAUAAAAAACAAAGAGAGUAGCUAGCUAGAUAGUAUCACUCAAUUUUUAUAGAAAAAGGGCUAGACAAUAUUGUUGCCUAGUGGAAAUUGAUGUACUGUCAACAAUAGUAACCACUUUAUUAAUCCAGAUAUAGUAUAGUAUCGGUUGGUUCAUGCAUCAGGAAAGACAGCAAUAAUAAUGGAGCUCCAGUAUGUGUGGAGUAUACAUAGAGAUGUCACCAUUUUGGGUUAUGUUUGGCGUUAAUUAUUAUUGGAAGCUUUGGGUUUGUGCUUAUUGCUAUGACGUUGCUUUCUUAAUCGAGGGGCUGUAUGUGAAUAUGAUUCUUGUAAAGCCGUGCCAACGUACUAUGUCAAUGUCCAUAAUUUGGUUGUGCUAUGGAAAGCGAUUUGAUCAAUCAUGACUGAUUGUUUGUUUCGAUUGAUGAUGGUGGUCAGUAGUAGAGUCCGGUGGAGUAUCCAAACUGUUACGUAGUCAUGGUUAACUUCGUCUUGGCUACUAAAAAUGACUGGAUCAACUCUGAAAAGCUUACCUAUUACUGUUGAUAAUGAUGAUUAGCUAUCACUUUAACCUAUUCCAGUCACUGUUGAACUUGGUUUUCAUCCCACUGGCCACUGCGUAUAUACCCAUUACUCUUUCGGGUUCUAUUUCUGUCUAAUGCAACAUUUACCUUUCACAAUUCCAUAUCAGAUAAAGUAGAAGGCCGCAUGCCGCGGAAACUGUCUAGAAAUAAACCAAGUUCUUUCAUGGGUCCACAACGUUCAUUCGUCUCUCCUUAUAUAGGUGUCAAUUCUUUAUUUCUGUGUUGAUGAACUUAACUUCUGGAUUCCUUCAACUAGCAAGCUAGGCUAUGUGCCGUACUGUCACGUCCUCAGGUAAAUAGGUUGAACUUACAAGACGUAGAGAGAGUAUGUUGUCAAAAUAUAAAAGUUACAUGUAUUUCAGAAGCUUAGUCUUAUAAUUUUGGCUUUUUGCCAUCCUCUUGACGACUGUUAGCACGCCAAUUGUGAACCGCAAGCGUACGGAUCAGUUGUAGCUCUUCUCUCAGAGUAUUCCCCAAAGGUUUAUCAAUCCGUGGAACUUAUAGCACAAGAUCUAUUUCAACUAGAAUUGUUAGUAUUAACUUGGUGUUUAUGAGAGAUUCAGAUCCAAUUUACUAAGCAUGUACAGACAGAUAACAGAUAGAGCAGAAGUAACCAAUCUAGAGCAACCUAAACUAUACAUAUGUUGUAAUUUUGAGCAUGGAUAGUAAAGCAACACAUAUAUGAUCUUAGUAAAAAGCAUCUUUAAAUCUACACCUCCGGUCCAGAUCCCAAAACCCCCCACCUUACACAAGAAAGAUCCUGUCACGAUCACCACUAUCAGCGCAAGUAGGUUAAGGGCACGAUAAAGAUAACAUGUCAAACUCAUCGGUAGAUCAUGCAUGCAAAUCUGGUCACCAUGACCAUAAGAACACCCUAAGCAAUCUAUCAUCAAUUCAUAGAUUCAAAAGCAAGCAAACCCAAUGAAGUAUAAAACCAUCAAAGGAGAUACUUAGAUCGCUAAGAACGUGAACAUAUCUAUUACUUCACCAUGAAUGAUUCUACAUCACAAGAUCACCACUGGGAUCCUACCUUGAUCUUGAUGACUCCUAGCUCCAGAACUCUAGCGUGAUCUUCCUCGCAGGGUGAACUUCAACAAAAUUUUCAAACUGUCCAUCAGUUUUUACCUAGACGAUGGCGUGGCUUUCCUGGCAGAAUCUUAGUGUCAUCUUGAUCAACCAUCUCAAACUCUGGCUCUUCUAUUUCAAUUUCUGGAGCUGGGGUAGGUGUCUUCUUUUUUGAAGUCAUCUCCGCUUCAACAGUUGAUUUAGGCUUCCUAGAUCCCGCUGGACGUUCAAGGUCUUCUGUUUCCUUGCCUAACCAAGUUUGAAUAGCCUUAGCUGACUCUGGAUUCCUCGGUUGUCCCGGCAAUUUACCUUCAUUGCUUGUAAAGUGCCCAGCUAACUAUGUAACUUGAGUCUCCAGCAUCUUCAUCAUGUUCAUCACUUGGUGGUUUGAACUUCCGACCUCUAUCACCUUGCUAUCAAUAUCUUCCAAAACCUUGUCCAAAACCUUGUCCAUAACCUUGAACUUAGUGAUAGUGUCUUUGUUGAUCUUGCCUUGCUCCCCUAUGAACUCCUUCAGCUGAAUGCAUAGAGGCACUAAGUUCUGGAUGGAUGAGCUUGCAUUGAGUUGAGGUCUAUUCUAUCCAUACCGAUAGUUGGAUGGUGGAAACCACUCCCCCUUCUUCAUGUAGUCUAGCAAACUUGCUUCCUCUAGACAGUUCUUCCCAACAUGGCCGUAUUCACCACACUUUUCACAUGUUGAUCUUGCUUCUGCUACCUUCAGAUCUAUAGCAUGAGCUUCUUUUAUCUUCAUCUUCUCCAGUCUUCUCAUCAGCGAAUCGAUCUUCCCUUCGAGUAAAUUCCUCAGUUGCAACACACCUUGAGAAUUUCUAGCUGGUUGAACUGGGAACAAGCACCCAGAUGAUGUCCAUCCAUCGUUGUCUGCUACCUUCUUGAAUAACUUGAAAGCUUGAGUUGGGGUGAGGUCGAUGAUUGAUCCUCCAGCUGAUGCGUCGAUGAUUAACCUUGAUGCUGGUGUCAGCCAUUGGUAGAACUUCUGGACUAGAUUCUCUUUCAGGAACUUAUGAUGUGGAACUUCACGAACGUAGUCAUUGAAGCGCUCAUAGGCUUCAGCAAUGUUCUCAGUAGAAUACUGAGCAAAGGUAGCUAUCCUGCUUCUUAGGUUUUGAGUCUUGGCUGGUGAAUAAUGUUCUGCUAUGAAGGGCUCCAUCAACUCAUCCCAAUACUGAAUUAUCGCGAGAAUAAAACCAUUAAAGCUCUCUUCCAAGUAGAGAGUAGGGAAAUAACCUUGCUCUUAGUUGAUCUUUGUUAACUCCAUACAUAUCGAAGGUGUUGCCCAGCUGCGUAAACGUUUGUGGAUGAAGAUUAGCAUCCUCCUUACCAGUGAAAGGUAAACUUUGCACCAUCCUGAGUCUUGAAGUAUUGAUGGUGAAUGGUUGCCUGAUGCCAUCCAACUCAUGGAUAGGUAAAUCAGUGAUGUUUGGGAUGCACAGUUCCCUGAUGGUACGCUCUUCUUCAUGUUGAUCUCCCAUUGCAGUUUCUUCUGCUACUUCUGGCGCAACUAGCGCCCCUUUUGGACUUACUAGUGGUGUCAACUUUGAAUAAGAAUAUGAUGACGAUUCUUCCUUAACAAUUGAAGAUUUGAUCUCCAGCUUUCUAGCUUGUGCUCAACAUCUUCCUUGCCUGUAAAGUUUUUUUGGAUGUUGGAUCAUCCAUAAAAUUUUUCAUUUUGUUGGAGAGGUAGCUGUCCAUCUCCUGUUAGCAUUAGUGAAAGCAAACACAUAUAUACAAGAACUAGAUUUGAAAUUUUGAUUGAAAUUGCGCAAAAACAAAAAAAUUAAAAAGAAAAGACUGAAAAAUCAUGAACAAAAAGUUAUAUCUACAAAUGCAUUGUUAAACUAGAACUUGACUAUUAGUUCCUAGCAACAGCGCCAGAAAAGCUUGUUGACAGCUUUUAGCAUGCUAAUUGUGAACCGCAAGCGUACGGAUUAGUUGUAGCUAUUCCCUCAAAGUAUUCCCCCAAGGUUUAUUAAUCCGUGUAACUUAUAGCACAAGAUCUAUUUCGACUAGCAUUGUUAGUAUUAACUUGAUGUUUAUGAGAGAUUUAGAUCCAAUCUACUAAGCAUGUACAGUGUCGGCUAGGCACCCCUGGGCCCACCAGAAGACUUGUAUGGACCCACUGAGGGGAAUGUACCCGAAACCAACUCGGACAUGAAGACUACUCUACAGGGCACGUAGGCUUCAUGAACUCCCCGAAGACUAGUCGGGUCAAAAGGAAACUACUCUACCAAGUUAGAGUAGGACUCUUUAACGUACUCGACUAGGACUCAUACGCAAUCUGCCCUGUAACCUUGCUCCCCCGACUAUACAAUGGCGGGCAAGGAUCCCCUCCAGACAAUGAACAACGAAGAACAAGAUCAAUACAACCAACACACAGGAUGUUGGGUAUUAUGCGAUCUAGCGACCUGAACCUGUCUAAAUCGUGUUCCUUGCGUCACCAUCGACUUCUUGAUUAUCGACGACACGCACCGCAUAAAAGACCACCUUGGGUACUCCCUAGGCAGGUUGCCGGUCUAAAACACCGACAUACAGACAUAUAGCAGAUAGAGAAGAGAUAAAUAAUCUAGAACAACCUAGACUAUGCAUAUGUUGUAAUUCUGAGCAUGGAUAGCAAGGCAACACAAAUAUGAUCUUAGUAAAAAGCAUCUUUAAAUCCACACCCCUAGUCUGGAUCCUGAAACCCCCCACCUGACACAAUAAAGAUCCUGUCACAAUCACCUCUAUCAGCACAAGCAUGUUAAGGGAACGAUCAAGAAAAUGUGUCAUACUCAUUGGUAGAUCAGGCAUGUAAAUCUGGUCACCACGACCAUAAGAACACCCUAAGCAAUCUAUCAUCGAUUUCUAGAUUGAAAAGCAAGCAAACCCGAUAAAGCAUAAAACUAUCAAAGGAGAUACUUAUAUCGCUAAGAACGUGAACAUAUCUAUUACUUCACCAUGAAUGAUUGUAUAUCACAAGAUCACCACCGGGAUCCUACCUUGAUCUUGAUGACUCCUAGAUCCAUAACUCCAGUGUGAUCUUCCUCGCAAGGUGAUCAUGCCGGCAAAGGUUCAGCUACGCUAACACCCGACAACUGCACGGCUCUCGGCUCUCCAGAGAGGUGUCCCUCAAGCUCCUUCUGCUUCUCUGUUGCUUCACGUCGAGUACAUCGUCUUGGAUUUGGGGUUCGGUGGAUUUUCGGGGUAUUUAUAGUUUAGAGAGCGCGUGGCAAAAAUUGGAAGGCGAGGGGCCAAAGGAAACCCCUAGGCCAAUUGGCCCGGGAGGGUUCAGGCCGAGAGGUCUGGGCCUUCCUUUUAGCCCCUCGCAUCUUGCUUCAUCUCCAAGUGUCCCUCGAUGCUCUGGAGUCUUCUUUUCACUUGUAUGUGGGCAUGGCAUGUUGAUAGUUUCAGGAUGAGAUUGAUCUUCAAUAACUUUCCAAAUCUCCGCUUGAUCUUCUCUGAUUCCUCUUUGAUCCCAAAGUGAUCCUUGCCAUAUCUUAACAAACUGAAGCGUCCCCACAUAAGUAGAGACUAAAUGUGAUCCAAUUAUCAGUCCCAGGAGGCUGAUAACACAUUUAUUCAACAGAUAGUUCAGAAACCGUACAACUCCCGAAGGAGCAGGCGGGCAAGCCACACCCAAAGCAAGACUAAAGCGAUAACAAUACAAAUCCAAGUUGCAGUCCAGUCGGACUCCGGGCUGCAAUCGGAACUAAGCGUCAGCGGAAGCAUCCUGCAAAAGGGCCAGCACCGCAGGCAGUGUUGGGUGCAGACGCAACCUCCUACUCGAAGUCCUCGGCGACGAAGUCCGGAUCCUCCUCUGAAGUAACAACACAAGGGUGAGUACAAAAGUACUCAGCAAGUCCAACCCCAUCCACGGAGGGGGAUACAACAAGAAUAUGCAUAAGAAUCAUCAAGGAUGAAGCUAUGGUUUAUUUGCAAUAAAGCUGAAUUUUAGACGUAUGCAGGGUUCCAUUUUAAAGAAGUUUCAUGAAAACAUUUUAAUAAACGAUAUAUCAAGUGGGGUUGAUCCUACACAAAGGAUCCGAGUUUUAUCGCUACCGGACCCCCCGUUCGCCGUAGCGCACGGCACAGCUGCCGGACACUUCCAAAAUUCCACACACCCACACACACCGUAAAUACCAGUCAUCCCCCAAAAGCUAGUUGUGUGACCGAGCCGUAACUCGUCCAAUGCCGUGGACACGGCUACCCGGAUAGGUUUUAACUCUGCAGAGGUUGUACACUUUUCCCACAAGUAGGGUACCGUAUCGCGAUCACCUUAGUGACGGUUCGGAUCCUAACAAAGCCAUUACCCACCUUAGCCAACACUGACUAGUCAUCACGGAAGCACCCAAGGGGUUAGUAACCCAUCCACGGGGCCAAAACCGGGACCUAAGUCACCAAGAGCUUAGUCCUUUUCCAAGGGCUCCCGUUGCUCACCAGCACACCUAAAGCCUAGCAGUUUAGCCAGUGGGAUUUAUGCUAAGCCGUUGCCCAUACAACGGUCGAGUGGUUGCACGAUGAUGGAAUUAGGAAGGAUGACACAUCAACUCGGUCCUUAACCAUGACAAGAUGGAUAACUCCCACUCUGCUCAACCACUAAGGUACGAGCCCAACAACCCGGCAUUCCACUCAAGAAACGCCCAUCCAUCUUAUCCACCACCUCUCUUUACACCCGAAAACCCAACACCUUAGUUGAACAUACUCACACAUUUAUUUUCCGAAUAAACAAGUGUAGUCAUGAUUGAAUUUGGAUAAUGAGUUCCUAAGCAUUCUAGCAGUAUUUAUCAUCUAAACAGAGCAACUCGUAUUAGAGAUAAAUAUGGGACAACAAGGAAUGAUCAUAACAAUCAAGGGGUGGCUAUCCAACCAUGUCUUGCGAUAAAACAAUAUGCAUUUUAUAAAAUGGGCCAAUAGGUUGUGUCUGAAAAACUGGGUAUUAAAUAUGCAUCAAAGGGUGAGAUUGGACUUGCCGUUCUCAAAGCCUUCCGGGAGCUCCUGCUCGCGGUACUGGUCCUCGGGCUCGGGCUCGCGGUCGAACUCCUCCUCGCGCUCCUCCUCGGGUACUCCGCGAUCUACGGCACACACAAACGAGCACACAAUAAAUAAAAAAGGAAAAAGAUUUUACCCGUUGAGCUCCGAACAGGAAGUGGGAACGAAAAAUAGGUAGGAAGAGUAUUUUCAUGAAAUUUUGAUAUGCCUCGGCGGAAAUAUAUGAGAGGAGGCCGUGGUCGAAUUUGGGAUUGAUUGGAGGAAAUUUGGCGCAUGAAAUGACGGUUUAAAGGAGUAUUAGGGCUUUAAAAAUGAAGUUUUGGACUAAACUGUGAAAACCGAGGACCUAUUUGUAAAUAUUCUAAAAAGUGGAAGGGCUUAUUUGUGGAAUUCCCUAGAGAGAGGUGGGAGGACCGAGUUGCAAUUAGAGAGAAAGGGAGGGGCAGAUCGAAACGGAUGGAAUCCCCUUCUUCUUCCUUGGCCGAAACAGAGGAAGGGGAGAAAGGGGGCGGGCGGCCAGCGCCGGGCCGGCCGGCCGGGCCUCGCUGGCGGCAGGCCGGGCGGGGAGAGGUGGAGGGGGCGCACGGGGGUCCAUUUGACCCCUCACCUUGGACGGUUGGUGGCCGGACCCAAGGGGCGACGGCGGCGGAAUACGGCGGCGGAGCUCCUGGUGGCGGCGGCGGUUGGCGUUGGGGAAGGUAGGGAGAGGAGGGCCGGCGGCUUGGGGAGCGUGUUGGUGGAGUGGGGGGAGCUUGAGAGGUGGGGGUGGGUGCCGGCCCCUCUUUAUAGGCGGCGGGAGGAGCUCGUGGCCGGCGAUCUUCGAGGAGCGCCGCGAAUCUCGGCCGGUGGCGUGCCGGAGCGGUGGAGCUCGUGGAUGGCGUGGUGGAGGACGCGGCUCGGUCGACGAGGGUACGGGGCGGCGACCGGCGUGGGGAGGCGCGCCGGGAGGGUGGCGUGCGGUGACCGGCGGGCGAGCCGGCCACAGGAGCGGCGACGGGAUGGCAGCUUGGCGCGGAGCGAGCGACGCGACGUGGUUGACCGGCUCGGCGUGCGCGCGUGGGUGGGAUCGGCGAGCGGUGCGGCACGGCGGGCGGCACAACGCGGCGGGCGGCGCUGGCGCGCGGGCGCGACGCGGGCGAGGCGAGCAGGGGCGGGCGUCGCGCGGCCCGGCGCGGCGCGGCCAGGCGCGGCGCGUGGCCCGGCGCAGCGCAGCCAGGCGCGGCUCGUGGCCCGAGGCGAGGUGGGCCCGGCGCGCGUGCGAAGUGCAGCGCCAGGGGCAAGGCGCCGAGCGCCGGUGCCAGAGGGAGGAAGAAAGGUGCCAGCCGCAGGAGAGAGAGGAAAAGAGAAAAAGAAAGGAGGAGAAAGGAAAAGGAGAAGAAAGGAAGAGAGGGAGAGAAGAAGAGGGAGUCGGCGGGACUUGCGGGAUUUGACGGCACGCGUGAUGGACUUGACGGGCACGCGGUGAAAAUUACGGGGACAGAAAAAGAGGGUCGACGAGUCGGGCCAGAACGACGGGUCCGACGGAAGGGAAAAGAUUUGACGGAGCUCAGCGGUCGGAAAAAUUUUGGAAAGCAUUUUCAACGAGUGAUUUAAUUGGGUGUAUUUUUACGGGCGUUACACAAACUUAGCCCCUAAGUCUUCUCAGAGGGUUGCUUGCCAAAAACGAGCUUGGGGUGGAACCAGGGAGCCUCAGGCCGAUCGGCCUAAGCCCCUAUAGGCCGAUCAGCCUGGGCCCUUUCUAGGCUCGCUGGCCUUCGUCUUUGUAUGGUUCAUUGCUUGUUCAGCGUCAACACAACCUGGUAACAAGAAGAUUCGUUUGUAGUCCUCAAGGAUUCUGUAGGGUUUAUCUUUCCUCCUUUUUGACAAAUUUUUCCUUGGUAGACAAUAUCAAAUACAAUUAUGCAAAAUUUUAAGAUCAAAGUAUAAUGAAUAGUGAAUUAGUGAUUAAAUUGCAAAUCACUACUCAUUUUAAAUGGAUCAUGUUCGACCAUGUGAGUUGUACCAAGUAGUGAGUAGUGGUGUAUGGAGUACCACCUCUGGUUAUAUGGUUUUCUGGCCCAGUUUUCACUCAAAAUACUAGGCCGUCACUUGUUUUUAUUUUCUCCUUGUAAUAAAAACUGUGGCAAAUUUUUGGCCAUCCUUUUGGGAAAAAACAUUAAACCCUAUUGAAUAUUUGCUCGCCUUCCUUUGUUGUUUGACUGUUUUUUUUCCAACAAUAUCGGGGGGAAGAUCCCCACCUACUACUUUUCCAUUGAUCGAAGAGUUGUUUUUACAACAAACAUGUCCUUGCAUACCAGGAAGAGAUUACAGAGGUAGAAGAACGAGAGGCCUCAAGAGGUUAACAACAAGAAAAAAGGAAAUCCCGCCAAGCUAAUACAUGCGGGGUCAUUCUUCUGUAGCGGUAGCUCCACACGUCCAGGUUCCGUGCCGCCCUACGGAUUACUUCUUGAGGUGGGAUUACCAGCUGCUCAAAGAUCUUGGCGUUUUGUGCCUCCCAAAUAUGCCAGAGGAGAAGGAUUGCAACGUCGGUGUGAGUUGGAUCGGGCAACGACAGAGUACAGCUGACAAUUAGGUGAUUUUAUGCCCCCCGUCCCUACGAUGAUGCUUGGCUCUGGUGUUAAGGCGUCCAUGAUAGAGUAACCAGCCAAAGAACUUAACCUUCACAGGCAGCUUGGUGCUCCAGAUUGGAGCAGCGUCAGGGUCCCGACAGUCAUUGGCAUGGAGCGCAAGAUAAGCACCUUGCGUAGUGAAUUCGGUGUUGGGUUUACCAUCAAGGAGACGACGAUCAUCCCGUUCGCUGAGAGAAGUGAAGAGGAGGAAGCUGCGUAGAAUGUCAUGUUCUUCCGUCGCCGCUCGCGUCAAGUGCAGCCUGAGAUGGCGGGAGAGGUUGAUAGUCAUCAGAGCGUAGACCGAUCCAUCCGUUUGUGUGUAGUGCGAAUACAAGGCAGGGAAGGUAUAGGCAAGAGAGGUUCCCAGGAGCCACUUAUCAUGGCAAAAGGAAGUGAGUUUGCCAUUCCCAAUCUGAACUUUUGUAAGAGAACCAUAUCGAGGCAGCUCAGCUCGUACCACCAGACCAAGGAAAGAGUCAUCAUCAUCUCCCAGUGCGGUAUGAUUUUGGUCUUUCAAGAUUCUUAAACCCCAGCCACCACCCCCGCCCCACCCCCCUUGUUGGAACUAGCUCUAAGAUCACUCACGCUCACGCACAAACGUAAGGAGGAAGAUGAACAGUAGUUUUUGGCGACGAACGCCACGGCCGCCGAAUGACCUGUAUCUUGGCCUGCUAUUCAACUCAAAAUUGACUCGAACCAACUGACACACAAGCAUUACAUAGCCAUUUAACACUAGUAGAAAUGUUUUCAUCAAUGACGAUUAGGUAGUGACGGUUGCAAAUUUCGUCACAGAAUGGUAGCAUUCUAUGACGAAAGUUGUAGGAUCGUCACUAGUCAGUGGUGACGGAGCUUUGCCGCGAAGAAUAAUGACGAAACUGGAAUAAUCGUCAUAUAAUAACAAAAGUAAAUCGUCAUUGAUUUGUUGGGUCGUGUACCACCCGAAGGACAUGGCUCAAUGGAGCCAGCAGCGAGUCCCACCUGGAGGACGUGGCGAAGCAGACCCACUAGUGGGUCCCAACUUUGAGGAUGUGGCAUUGUGGUCCCACCAGCGGGUCCCACAUGGAGGAGUGGCCAUGUGGUCCCACCAGCGGCCUAACUUUGAGGAUGUGGCAUUGUGGUCCCACCAGCGGGUCCCACAUGGAGGAGUGGCCAUGUGGUCCCACCAGCGGGCCGUGGCAGUGUACACGUGGCGCCGUAGGCCCACGCCCUUGGUCCACUAGCAGUCUGCCCCCUCCCUUGCAAAAAAAUGACUCAAGGGGCCAAGGGGGAUCGAACCCGAGACCUGAUGCUAGAAAGGGAGGAGCCUUACCGCUGGAGCUCUCGACACUUUGUGUCCCUGAUGUACACGUUUUUCUUUUUGUAGGUAUAAAAAGUUAUUUUGGAAUAUUUUUUAUCGAUGGGUCUGAUGGGCCCUGUACACGAUCGUGUAUACGUCCGUGGCUAUUGGGCGAUCAUACGUCCGUGACGUCUGAUCGCGACGACGUCCAUAGGGCGCAGCAGCGGCGGCGCCCGUGGGAUAGAGCAGCGGCGACGGCCGUGGGAUAGAGCAGCGGCGACGCCGGCGAUCGUUGGUUGGGUGGAGGAGCACCUAGUAGCUGCUGCGCCUGUUGGACAGUUUAGGGGAAGACAAUUAACUAAAUAUUAAACAAUGGUUGAUGCUGACUAAUUAUAACAAAGAAGGGGACAACAAUGGCUGAUUCUGACUAAUUAGUUUCAUAUUAAACAAUUUCCAAUAGGCCAGUGGAAUUAACUAAAUAAUGGAAAGACAUGUACUAUGGCAUAACUGGAGCAGAACAAAUGUAUUACAACAGUAGUACACACUGAAAGCUUGUUUUAGUUGAAAUGGCAUUGUUGUUUUAGUAUGGACCAGUCACACUGAAAGCUUGUUUUAGCUGAAAUGGCCAGGUUGACAUAGUAUGGAUCAGUAUCAUGUCCCACUGUUUACUUGGUUCUCCCAACAUGAUUAUCCUAAAUUCUAGUAUGGAUCACUUCUCUAUUUUCAUUUACAUAUGCACUGACUAAUCAGAACAUGCUUGCCAACAUGCUUCAUGGGUGGUACAGAGCUUAGUCUGUUCCUUGCAACCAAACAAGCCACAGUGGGAACUGACUAACCAACCCAUCAUAAAAGCCACAGAGGUUGACAUAGUAACACAUUCAAACUCAGAUUCAAACUCAAACACACAUUCAGAUUUGGGCUCACAUUCAGAGUCAUGAUCAAACGCAGAUGCAUUCACAUUUGGAUUGAGGAAAGAACACAGGGAUGGAGGGGGUAUAGAAAAGAACGUUAACUAAAUUUGCUUUAAUUAAAAUUGUGCUCGAGUACAGCCGAACACACUUGAGUAGCGCAACGGUAAGGCUCAUGUUAUUCACCCUGAGCUCCCAGGUUCGAACCCUGUUGGAGCCAAUUUUUUGUUAUAUUUUUUUCUUUAUGCUCCAUUUUUUUGGUACAUGUUUAAUUUGUCUAAUAUUGCUUCUACUAAAACAAAAUUUGAAAUGAUUAUAUUUUUUCUUUAUGCUCCAUUUUUUUGGUAGAUGAUUAAUUUGUCUAAUAUUGCUUCUACUAAAACAAAGUUUGAAAUGAUUUUGAGAAAAUGGGCAUGCACUAAUAUUGCACCUCACAUGUAUCAUUGGCACGAGUGAGCCAUGUUCAUGCUUGUACAAAGACGUAUACUACCACCUUGUCGAAAUCGUUUGAAUUUUUUAUGGGAUGUUUAUAGAGCCAAACUAUGAUGCUUUGUGCAUCUGUGCGAUUUUCUGACCAAUUUUUCCUAUUAUUGAAAUUUUUGUUGGAUUAGUGAAGCAUAAUUGUUAAAAUAUGCUAAGAUAGCUAAAAAACUAAGUGAGGGUUGUGCAUAAUGUUGACAAUAAAGUUUCAACUAAUACCUAAGUGAGAGUUGUUCAUGCUUUUACAAGUUGUCUAGUACCACCUUGUCAAAACAAUUUGAAAUUUUAAUGGGAUGUUUGUCACUAGUAGAGAAAUGACUUUCCAUCCACCCCCUUUUGUCCCGGUUUAAAGUUGGCCCGGGACAAAAGGUUCACCAACCGGGACUAAAACUCGGUCACUGGUGGGGGGCUCACCAACCGGGACCUUUUAUCCCGGUUGCAAAGGCUAGUGGGAAAAAAAGACUCUGAGAGGCAUUUUAUCCCGGUUUGAAAUACCAACCGGGAUAAAAGACCCCCCUUUUAUCCCGGUUGGUAACACCAACCGAGAUAAAAGGGUCAAGAGCCUUUUAUCCCGGUUGGAAACACCAACCGGGAUAAAAGGGGGUCAUUUAUCCCGGUUGGUGUUUCAAACCGGGAUAAAAGGGUCCCCCAACGAGGUCAUUGGAAGAUGGCUGGAAAGGGAUUAAAUACUCGAACCCUUUUAUCCCGGUUGGAAACACCAACCGGGAUAAAAGGGUCUUUUAUCCCGGUUGGUGUUUCCAACCGGGAUAAAAGGGUCCCCCACGAGUUAAUACAAAAGGAUAGUAUCCCCUACAUAGUCAGAUGUGGUGUGUAGGUGGGAUGGCAAGGAAGCUACGCGCGAGGCUGGAGGUUGUGGGUUCGAAUCCCACGAACCGCGCACGUGCAUAUUUCGCGUGAAAAAUCGCGUGACUUGUGACUUGCGACGUGCGCGUGUGGGUGGGAGCUCGGGAUUUUUUUUUUGCAGCGCCGGCCGUGGGUGAACCCUUUUAUCCCGGUUGGUAUUACCAACCGGGACAAAAGGGGGGGGGGUCUUUUAUCCCGGGUCAAUCUAAGAUAGUUUUCUUGCACAUUAUCACAAAGCCAAAUUUAUAGAUGGGCAUAAAGCCCGAGCCCAUGAGCCCGGCACGAUAGAAUGAAAAUCUAUGAAUAAUGAAUGAAAAUCUGAGGUUAAUCAUUAUAAGAUUAUUUUAUCCAUCUUAAGAUAUUCUAGAUUUUAUCCUUUAUGUAUUCACAAAAUAACUACAAUAAAAGAAAAAUCAUGUAAUAAGAAUUCUCAAAUAAAUUGAGGUUAAUCAUUAAGCAUUAUUAUACUAAUGUAAUAUAUAAAGCAUCGACUAAAAGAGGCGAGCGCAACCACCGAGGGCGCCAAAAAGAAUUCACUCCUGAAAAAAAUACCGCCAAAAGCCCAAAACACCGAUUUAUUUAUCCAUAUCCCCCACUACUCGUCAACCCAUCCUCCAGUCAUCCACACCCCCCACCCCGAUCCAUUUCUCCAAGUCUCCAACCCUAGCCGCCGCCGGCGGCACACCGCCAUCGACGACCUCCUCACGAGCUGCGUCCACCAGUGGUCCUCUGUAUCCCUCCCCCUUUCUGGAACCCUAGCCGCCGCAGGUGGCUCACUUCCGCCAGCGACCUACUUCCUCUCCCACGAGCUGCGUCGCCGCCGCCAUCAAUCACCGCCGGUGGAUCUGCUUCCCCGUCGACUAGGCUUCACCGCACCACGUCUUCUUCCACUUUGAUGACUAUAGCCGCCAAGAAACUUGUCUACAUCCGCAACUAAGGCACAACCGCAAUGGUGGCGACAAGAGGUCAAGGUAGGAAGAGGUCUGCAGAAGAAGAUCAAGGUAAGCCACAACGUGUUCUGUUAUUUGUUCAAGUAGUACUACAAUUUUGUUGGUGCUCUGGUUUAGGUGCACAAUACAUGAGAUAUAAUGCAACAACACAGUACAAUGCAACAACACUUUGAUGAAUUUUUGUGGCUGUUAUCCACUUAUCCUUUCCUGUUUUAGUUAUCUGAAAUCAAUUGCACUGCGCAGUAAAGUAAAACCUAGAUCUUUUAAAAUGGGUGCAGUAGCAGUUGAAUAAGAGGCUGAAUCAUAAUAGUGGUUGUGUAUUUAUGAUGUUCCAAAAUCAUGAUAAUGGUAUGCCUCUUGGGAUAAUUAACUUAGGCAUUUUGAAAGGAUUGACAAUCCUAAUUUCUGGCACUCCUAGUAUUUCUUAUUGUUUUGAGCCCAAACUUUUACAGUAGCAAGAUGGCUAUUUUAUUUAUACAUGUCCUGUACUUUUUCUGAUUCCAUAUCUUACUGUGUGGUAGGUCGAGUGGAUUUCAGUGCCAUAUUGUAUAUGUGCUGAUCCUUAGAAGUUGUAUUGCAAUCAUACUGAUUGUACUCUGAUAGUUGUGAUGCUAGCCCUUAUGAUUUUUUUAAUACUUCUUGUGUCCAUAUAAUCUUGAUCCUUAGUAUUACUACCCUACAACCUGUUGGUGAUAAACACCUAGAUAAGACAGCCUGUUAGUAGACUAUAAGAACUGAACUUUACUACUUCUAAAUCAAUUGCACUGCAUAGUAAAGUAAAACCUAGAUCUUUUAAAUGGGUGCAGUAGGCAUUUCGAUGUGAUAAUUAACUUAGGCAUUUCGAAAGGAUUGACAAUCUUAAUUUUUGGCACUGCUAGUAUUCCUUAUUGUUUUGAGCCCUUAUGAUUGUGUUAAUACUUCUUGUGUCCAUAUAAGCAUGAUCCUUAGUAUUAAUACCUUACAACCCAUUGGUGAGAAACACCUAGAUUAGACAGCAUGGGAAUAGACUUUCAGAACUGAACAUAACUACUUCUUGUGUCACUGAUCUGAAUGUGUCACCUUUCUUAUAGUUGCAUUGGUAAUGAAAUUUCUUACUGCCUAAAAUUUCCAACAUGGACUGGUAGUAGCAAGUUAACGUCAAUCACUGUUUCACUGCUGUACUUUCUUAUUGUAAUAGAUACAAGGGUAAAUGAAAGUAAAGAACCUCGAAAAACUGAUUAUGAGAGAAGGCGGGAUGCACAAAUAGCGGAGAAUGCUAAGGUGUUUGAAGCACUUGGACUGCUAAAUCUAUCUACUGAAUUUAAUAAUUCUGUACCUGAACCUGCAACAAAGAAGGGGAAAAAAUCAGCAAACCAGAAAACAAAUAGUGAAGAUUCGGAUUCAUCGGAAUUUCUCCUUGAGGACAAUGAUCAAGGAGAUAGUGAUGAUGAUGACACUGAAUCUGAUGAGCAGCCACAACCCACUAAGGUGCUUCUUCUAUCUUCAAAAUACUGGCUAGGAAAAAUUUGCAUUGCAUUAGAUUGUUUUUAAACUGUUCUUUAAUAUAUGCCCUUGCUUUGUAGAUACCUAUUCUUUCUUUCUUACAUGAUCUUUAAUAUAUGCUCUUGUUUAUUAAUGCACAUGACUUACUACAUUUUUCCCACAGUGUCCUGCAGGCUAGAAGCGAAAAGUCCUCGCUUCAAAGAAGAAGAGAGUUUCCAACAUGGCUCCGGGAGUUAGGGCUACUAAGAGAGUGAGGGCACCUCAAGGUUCGCAGGUGCAACCUACUAGGGCCGAAUUAAGAACAUCAAAAAGGCUUCAACUGUCAGCAAGAGAUGGGCAGAGUGAACAUGCUCCUACAGAUGGUCAAGAUGAAAUACCACCAAGUUCUUUUACAGAUGCAGAGCAGGGCAAUGGAACUGGUGUUGAGGACAUUAUAGCCACAGAGGAAGAUAGUGGAGCUGGUGCUCAAGACAUGAUACAUGCUGAUGUAGACACUGAAGGCAAGUUAUUGUUUCUUUAUCAUUGAAAUAGAUCAACUCUUUUGCUGAUUUCCAUGAAACUAAAUCAUUUAACUGCAAAUUAUAUUUUGUAGCUCCUGCACAGAGAGCCCCAAGGAGACCCAGGCCACCCACCAAGGGAACACAGCUGGACAGGAUGACAAAAGCUAUGGGAAGGAGAAUGCCCGUAGCUGUUGCUGAAGGGAAAAAAAGGCCUCAUGAACCUGUUCAAGCAGCCAAGUUUGCAUCUGAGGCUGGUGUCAUCAUUCGGGAUAAGGUUCCUGUGCUACCACAUUGGAAAUUAUAUAAGAAGGAUGAUCAACAUUACAAAAAUUUUGUGGGAAAAAUCUCUGUAAGUGCAAUAUUGUUUUCUUGGUAAACUUGUAGACCUGCUAAACCUAAAUUAACUAACUUAUGGAAUUGUCAAAUGACUAGGGGCGCUUGGCGAUUAACACUAACGACAAGCCGACAGACGAUGCUUGCACCGAUGUGAUGCGCUCUGGGGUGCGACAAAGGCGUUAUCGGCUCAAGCAGAAAUACUUCAAUGGUGUAAGUGCUAAUGAGAUUAGCAAAACUUCUCCAGUUAACUGCAUGUCUGAUGAACAGUGGAGGGCACUAAUUGCAAAGUGGUCUGAUCCAAAGAACAUGGUAUAUUUUAUUCUUGUCAAUUAUCAUUUCUCAGUCAGUUUCCAAAUUAUCUUCUCAAUGUUAACCAAUGAUCUCAUCUGACAUUUAAUUCUCUUAUAGGAAACAAGUGAAAAGAACAAGCUGAAUCGUGGUAAAGUCAAGUAUCAUCAGACUACGGGUUCUCGCAGCUAUGUGGCACACUUACAUGCAUAUGUAAGUAUUUGAUUAUCUACAUAAGACUGACUUUGUAUCAUAAGACUGAUGACACUUUGUUGCAAUUGAUUCUCUGUGAAACAGAAGCAUCAGAGGAACAAUGCAGAACCUAGCACAGAUACCCAUGAAGAACUUGAUGUGGUGGAGGCCUUCACUUCCUGCCAUACCAGCUCCAAACAUGGUCUUAGUGAACCAGCAAGAGAAGCAGUUGUAAGUCUCUACAUCUGUAUCCAUGCAUGUUAGUUGAUGAUUACUAAAAUAAAGUUGUAAAAUCACCUUUAGCUCCAUCACUAGACCCACCCUGCUAGGAUUAUUGAUUACAAAAAUAUAGUUGAGAUGGUCAUGUACAAGUAAAAACAAGUAUCCAUGCAUGUUAGUUGAUGAUAAUAAGAGAGAAUGGCUGCAAUUGGUUAUCCAGAUUGAUUAUAUGUAGUUUGAAACUGUAUCUAGAUUGAUUAGAGAAUGAAUUGUUCAAAAGUUUGACAACACUAGAGUAAUCCACAUUGAUACUUCUCUGAUGUCACAAUCAAUUUGGCUUGUAUUAUUCAUAGAUGCCACAAUCUUCAGAUUUACACUGCAAGUACAAGCAUAUGCAUAUACCAGGUUACAAUUUUUAGAUUUUUACUGCAAGGGUUCUGACUUUAAUACUACAUGCUACAUUGCUAUCUGAAUUUCCAAAUAAAAUUAGCACUGCUAUCUAAAUCUUAAGGAUGUCUAGUCUACAUCAUCACUUUGAAUUUUACACUAAAAUAUUUAAGCUUAGUGAUGCUGCAGCCUUAGCAAUUGGAAACAAGCAUGCUGAUCAGGCUGAUCAUGUUCUGGUAACAGUACAAUAGAAUCAUUGCAUUUCAUUGGAUUGGCUUGUGGUGCUGAUCUGCUACUGAAAUAGGGACAUAUUUUUGUCCUUUAUGCUAUAUUUUAUUCUACCUCUAGUACACAUCUUGCUGUUUUUAUUUUAUAAAAUACAUCUUGACUUAUAUUUCCUCCUCAGAUUAAUGCAAUAAUUAUCAACUAAUGAUGGAUCAUUGUUGUUUUAGACUAAUAUGGAAGCUUUGAGGGCACAACCUGUGGCUGAAGGUGAGACAAGAGUAUCAAGUGUGCAGGUUGUGUCCCAGGUGCUCCCCAAGAACAGCUCAAACAGUUUCCUGAAGAGUGUUGGCAUCAAACCAGUGGGAACCUCCCAAGCAUCAUCAUCAUCAAAUGAAAUCGAGCUACGGGAACAACUAGCAGCUGAAGCUAAGGCUGCUGUACAAGAUGAACUCGAGGAUCUCAAGAAGAGAAGUGAAGAAGCUGAGGAGAAGCUGGCGAGGACAGAAAGAGAGCUGGAGGAGAUGAAGAAGCUGACUGAGAUUAACACCAAGGCAAUGGAGGAGAACAAUGCGCUGCUCAAGCGUAUCUUGUCCCUCAACAAUGCUUCUUCGACAUGAGCGCUGCUGGUGGUUGCCAAGACCACAAACUGUAGCUUCUAGUUGUUGGCAAGCUGGUGCUCCUGAUGGAUAUGCAAUCCUUAUGUGCUGGUGGUGAAAUAAGUUUGGUGAACUGAGUUGUUGGCAAGCUGGUGCUUCUAGUUUCCUGCUGGUGGUUGGUCAUUUUGUUUAGCACUUAAGUUGGUAGUGAUGAAAUCCAUGGUAUGUGAUAUGUUUGUACUGUUGGUGAACUAAGUUUGGUGAACUGAGUUUGUUGAAUUGAGUUUAGUUGCUGAUGAACUGAGUUUAGUAGUCUUGAUUAAGUUGUAUGGUAAUUGGAAUACUGGAUCUGUUAGCUGCUGGUGAUGUCUAUAUUAUUUGUAUUUUCUAAUGAAAUCAGACUGACCAUCUGAGCAGAAAUGUUGUCUUUGUGACGAUUGUAUAUUUUGUUCUGUGAUGACUUCAUAUGUUGUUCUGUGACGAAAAUGAGAAGCUACAACAGCGCGACACGUUGAAUAAUCACAGGAUGCCACGUGGCCCCCACAACAAGUGACACGUGGACAUUCUAUCCACUGGCCACGUCAUCCACCACGUGACAACCGCGUCAGCUGCCACGGCAAGCGACACGUGCCAGUAGACUCAGCAACACGUGUCAGUCCAGUCAUCAGCCACGUCACUGCCACGUUGUGGGACACGUCAGCUGCCAGCGUAGCAAACGCCGUUUGGCAGCCUAACAGAGCGGUAUGUUAUGACGAAAACAGGGAACAUCGGCGACAAAAACCUUUCGUCAUAGAAUGAAAUCCUUUCUGUGACGAUGCACGUUUCAUCAUUGAUUGAAAACACAUCUGUGACGAAAAAUGGACGUUUCGUCACCAUACGUAAUCAAUGACGCUCAUUCCAUGACGAAACUGUUUUCGUCACCACUUCGUCACAGAAAGUAGUCGGUGACGAUUGUGUAGUCUUCGGUGACGAAAGGGGAGCGUCAUUGAUGACCACUUCCCUAGUAGUGUAAAGGCCCCUCGGCGAACACGGCGCGCACGUACGCACUCCCCUGGCGACCCGGCCUUCUCUGCACUCUGAGCCACAAAAACUCCUCCGCGAGAACCGGUCUUCAGCUUUGCUCACAAGCCAAGUUGUGUUCCCCUCCGCUACUGGCGCCACGGCCAACGGUUUGACCAUCCCUGCAACUGCAACUCCUGCAGAACUACCAGCAUGCGCCGCACGCCAUGCUGGACUUGACUCCGGACGCAAACGCGAGCACGCACACGUGCGCUAUCCGGCUGAACCUACUACGAUACCUAGAACGUGGCCACACCACCGUCCUAGCCUGACACGAACUCGACACUGGACGCGAACACGAGCACCAACUCGUGCCCCCAAACAAGCAUGACGCACACACGCCAUGACUGAACACACACAUAUGUGCUAAGUCAAGAUUAGUGCUAACAAUUUCCCCCGUAAUCUUGACUUGCUUAUUCUACUUUCUAGACAUACUUCAAGGUAAUGUUGGUUCAUCAUCCGCCGUCGCAAGAAGCGCUUCUUCCUUCUUUGGCUUGGGACAUUCCCUGGCAAAAUGUCCACGGACGCCGCAAUUGUAGCAUUUACCUUUCUUUCCCGGAGACUUGAGCUUCUCCCAAGCCUGCCACUCAGCCGCCGUGAGCAGGAGCUGACCAUGACCGGUCUUGCUAGCUUGAGUGCGCCGUCAAGAACGCUCGUUGAAGGCCUUCAACCUCCCAAGCGCCUCCUCAAACGGCAUCUUCUCCACGUCACAAAACUGCUCGAUCCCCACAACGACAGGGUAGAGCUGAUCUGGGACGGUGUCGAGGAGCUUCUUAACCAUGGUGGAGUCGUCAAGUGUUGCGCCGAGGUUGAUGUACUUCUCCGCCAUGCCACUAAUUUUGCCGGCGUAGUCAUCCAAUGGCUCCCCCUCCUUCAUGCGCAGCAAGUCGAAUUCACCUUUGAAGGUUGAAAGAUGAGCGGCCUUGACGCGGUCGGCUCCGACAAACCUCAUCUUGAGGCUGUCCCAAAGCUCUUUCGCCGUCUUCUUUUGUGACACCUGCAAGAGAAUGUCCUCCGGUAGCGCUUGAAGAAGUUGUGCCCUCGCCGUCUUGUCCUUCCGUGCGUCCGCCACCUCGCCUUCCGCCGGAUUCACGUCCUCCCAAAGGCCCUGAGCAUCAAGGAUGGCCUCCACCUUGAUCGCCCACGCGGUGUAGUUCGUCGAUGAGAGCAGCGGGUACGCGAGCGAGACACCGCUACUUCCCCCGGCACUGUGCGGAACCAUCGCCAUGGAGUCGAGGUAGUAGCACAGGAUCUUGGGCAUACACGGCUCUGGUACCAAUUGUUGGAACUAGCUCUAAGAUCACUCACGCUCACGCAUAGACGCAAGGAGGAAGAUGAACUGUAGUUUCCGGCGACGAACGCUACAGCCGCCGAACGACCUGUAUCUUGGCCUGCUAUUCAACUCAAAAUGGACUCGAACCAACUGACACACAAGGAUUACAUAGCCAUUUAAAGGCCCCUCAGCGAACACGACGCGCACGUACACACUCCCCUAGUGACUCGGCCUUCUCUGACUCUGAGCCACAAAAACUCCUCCGCAAGAACCGGUCUUCAGCUUCGCUCACAAGCCAAGUUGCGUUCCCCUCCGCUACUGACGCCACGGCCAACAGCUUGACAAUCCCUGCAACUGCAACUCCUGCAGAACUACCAGCAUGCGCCGCACGCCAUGCUGGACUCAACUCCGGACGGAAACGCGAGCACGCACACACGCGCUAUGCGGCUGAACCUACUACGAUACCUAGAACGUGGCCACACCACCGUCCUGCCCUGACACGAACUCGACACUGGACGCGAACACGAGCACCAACUCGUGCCCCCAAACAAGCAUGAUGCACACACGCCAUGACUGAACACACACAUAUGUGCUAAGUCAAGAUUAGUGCUAACAAUUUUCCCCCUAUUCUUGACUUGCUUAUUCUACUUUCUAGACAUACUUCAAAGUAAUGUUGGUUCAUCAUCCGCCGUCGCAAGGAGCGCUUCUUCCUUCUUUGGCUUGGGACAUUCCCUGGCAAAAUGUCCAUAGACACCGCAAUUGUAGCAUUUACCUUUCUUUCCCAGAGACUUGAGCUUCUCCCGAGCCUGCCACUCGGCCGCCGUGAGCAGGAGCUGACCAUGACCGGUCUUGCUAGCUUGAGUGCGCCGUCGAGAACGCUCGUCGAAGGCCUUCAACCUCCCAAGCGCCUCCUCAAACGGCAUCUUCUCCAUGUCACAAAACUGCUCGAUCCCCGCAACGACAGGGUAGAGCCGAUCUGGGACAGUGUCGAGGAGCUUCUUAACCAUGGCGGAGUCGUCGAGUGUUGCGCCGAGGUUGACGUACUUCGCCGCCAUGCCACUAAUUUUGCCGGCGUAGUCAUCCAAUGGCUCCCCCUCCUUCAUGCGCAGCAAGUCGAAUUCGCCUUUCAAGGUUGAAAGAUGAGUGGCCUUGACGCGGUCGGCUCCGACAAACCUCGUCUUGAGGCUGUCCCAAAGCUCUUUCGCCGUCUUCUUUUGUGACACCUGCAAGAGAAUGUCCUCCGGUAGCGCUUGAAGAAGUUGUGCCCUCGCCGUCUUGUCCUUCCGUGCGUCCGCCACCUCACCUUCCGCCGGAUUCAGGGCCUCCCAAAGGCCCUGAGCAUCAAGGAUGGCCUCCACCUUGAUCGCCCACACGGUGUAGUUCGUCGAUGAGAGCAGCGGGUACGCGAGCGAGACACCGCUACUUCCCCCGGCACUGUGCGGAACCAUCGCCAUGGAGUCAAGGUAGUAGCGCAGGAUCUUGGGCAUACACGGCUCUGGUACCAAUUGUUGGAACUAGCUCUAAGAUCACUCACGCUCACACACAGACGCAAGAAGGAAGAUGAACAGUAGUUUUCGGCGACGAACGCCACGGUCGCCGAACGACCUGUAUCUUGGCCUGCUAUUCAACUCAAAAUGGACUCGAACCAACUGACACACAAGGAUUACAUAGCCAUUUAAAGGCCCCUCAGCGAACACGGUGCGCACGUACGCACUCCCCUGGCGACCCGGCCUUCUCUGCACUCUGAGCCACAAAAACUCCUCCGCGAGAACCGGUCUUCAGCUUCGCUCACAAGCCAAGUUGCGUUCCCCUCCGCUACUGACGCCACGGCCAACGGCUUGACCAUCCCUGCAACUGCAACUCCUGCAGAAGUACCAGCAUGCGCCGCACGCCAUGCUGGACUCGACUCUGGACGCAAACGCGAGCAUGCACACGCGCGCUAUCCGGCUGAACCUACUACGAUACCUAGAACGUGGCCACACCGCCGUCCUGCCCUGACACGAACUCAACACUGGACGCGAACACGAGCACCAACUCGUGCCCCCAAACAAGCAUGAUGCACACACGUCAUGACUGAACACACACAUGUGUGCUAAGUCAAGAUUAGUGCUAACCCCUCCCCCCCCCCCCCCAGGCAUUGACAAGGAUAAGCUGGCCGCCAGUACCCAACAGUUUGGCUUUCCAGCCCGAGAGGUAGCGGUCAAAACUAUCAAUCAACGGUUUGUAAUCGAUCACUCGAAGCUUGUGGGGGAGAGAGGCAAGCCAAGAUAUGCCCGGGGAAAGGUGCAAACUGUGCAGCCCAGAAUGGAUGCCAUGCUCGUAGCUUCAGCUAGCGGCAAAUGCAUUGGAACAAAAGUGGAUUUGUGGAAGUUGAUAGCAAGGCCGGUGGCGGCAGAGAAGUCGUCCAAAAUGGAUUUAAGAACUCGCAUUGAUCUGGUGUCCCCUCUGGUAAUGAUCAAGGUAUCAUCGGCGUAUUGCAAAACGGGGCAAGGGAGUGACUGGUCAAUUGGGUAGCACAGCUCACUUCUGGCCGAGGCACAUUUUAAUUAUUAGACGUUGAAGAACGUCGGCCACCACGAUGAAUAGGUAAGGGGAGAUGGGAUCCCCCUGUCGAAGCCCACGGCGACAGGUGAUCCAGCGCCCAGGAACUCCGUUUAGCAUGACAGAUGUUCGACCACUUGACAAAAUCUUCCCAAUCCAACCACACUACCGAUGUUACAUUUCUUACAAACGAAUUGGGAUUAAUUUUAAAACUUUGCAUGCUUCUACAACAUCACCUCCUCUCUACAUGCGUGAGUUUUGUUUGGAACACUUCAAAACUUCCAGACAAGCGUGAAUUGGGCCCCAUCAAAGUGCCCCUGCAAGAGGAAUAUCGUUUGUUCGUUAUCCAUAUCUGACAGAUACAGAGAUGUUGCCGCAUCAAGGCAUUACCCACUGGACAGCAGCCGCUCAGCGAUCAAAAAUAUGCGGGGGGUGUUCGGAAGACGGCGGGUAAACUUUAGCCCCUAUUAUAUCGGAUGUUUGACACUAAUUAAGAGUAUUAAACAUAGUCUAAUCAUAAAACUAAUUGCACAACUUCUAGGCUAAAUCGCGAGACGAAUCUAUUAAGCCUAAUUAGUUCAUGAUUUGAUAAUGUGGUGCUACAGUAACUAUUCUCUAAUGAUGAAUUAAUUAGGUUUAAUAGGUUCGUCUCGCAAUUUAGCCUAGGGGUUCUGCUAUUAGUUUUGUAAUUAGCUCAUGUUUAGUCCUUCUAAUUAGCAUCCGAACAUCCGAUGUGACAGGGCUAAAGUUUAGCCCUUGCUAUCCAAACGCAUAUUGCUAUCUAAGUGGUGCCUGUUGGCCGAAUGUUUAUUUGCCAUUCCACAUAUUGUUAGUGGCAAUUAGGUUUAGCUUCAUUGUUUGCUCUUCGAUCGGAGAAGGGAUGCACGUAAUAACCAGUAUCGUUUACGGUGCAAAUAAUCUUCCACGAACCAGUAUUGUUUCAUAAGCUACCUUUUGGUCAUUAUCCUUAGCUUUUCUCUCUCUGUAUACUGCCCUACACUGUGUCUGAGAUAGGUGGCUGAUAAUGUGUAUUCCACUACUGUAGUCGUGAAUAAUGACAGCAGGUCAUUCUUCGUCUCUGGUUUCCUCCACAAUGAAUCCAACAUCGCCACUAAUGGAGUAGGGUUUGAUGGCCUGAUGAAAGUAGGGCCUCUAUAAAGCGGAGCAACAUCUGACGCUUCCAGCACCAGUGACUCCUAUAAAAUGCCACGCACUCUAUCGCUACGAGCACAUCAACAAUAUAACACAUCGCCUUCGUGCGCAUAGGCGUGGAAGCGCAUCAAUACACAGAUUAACAAAUGGAUCGUACUCGCAAGUUACAACUCCCAUACCUGUAGUCCGUUGUUGAUUAAACUAGCUGCGGCGAUCCAAGACAUACAUGGCGCCGUCUACUUUCGUCUUGCUCCUCGCUCUCCUCCUGGCCUCUUUGGCAGCUACGUCGGAUGCCUCGUUUGACCUCCGCGCCGAGCUCAACCAUCCCUAUGCCGGCAGCCCGCUCUCAAACCACGAGAUGCUCCGCGACGCCGCCAUGGCGAGCAAGGCCCGGCGGCGCGCGUGGAACGACGCCGCUAGCGUGGCUAUAGCGGCGGAUCAUGGCGCCAUCUCCGACGCCGACGUGCUGGUCAGGCCGUUCGGCAGGUCGGAGCACACGCUGACCGUCGGCGUCGGCACCCCACCGCAGCCGCGCACGCUCCUCCUCGACACCGGCAGCGACCUCAUCUGGACGCACUGCAAGCUCUUGGGUGGGAAGCACCGCGAGCCGCUCUACGACCCUGCCGGGUCGUCCUCCUUCGCCGCCGUCCCCUGCGACGGCAGGCUGUGCGAGACGGGCAGCUUCAACACCAAGAACUGCUCCAGCAACAAGUGCCUCUACACCUACGACUAUGGGAGCGCCACGACCAGAGGCGAGCUCGCGUCCGAGACCUUCACGUUCGGCGAGCACCACAAGGUCUCGGUCUCCCUCGACUUCGGGUGCGGAAGGCUCACCUCCGGCAGCAUCGACGGCGCCUCCGGCAUCCUAGGGAUCAGCCCGGACAAGUUAUCCUUGGUGUCGCAGCUACAGAUACCGAGGUUCUCCUACUGCCUCACUCCUUUCCUCGACCGCGAUACAAGCCACAUGUUCUUCGGGGCAAUGGCCGACCUGUCCAAGUACAGGACCACAGGGCCUAUCCAGACAACUUACUUAGUGAGGGACCCGAGUGGCAGAAACUACUACUAUUACGUGCCCUUGAUCGGCAUCUCUGUUGGGACGAAGCGACUCAACGUGACGGCGUCGAGCUUCGCCAUCGGGCUCGAUGGCGGUGGCGGCACCUUUGUCGACUCAGGAGACACGACCGGCAUGCUUCCGUCGGUGGCGAUGGAGGCCCUUAAGGAGGCUCUGGCGGAGGCCGUGAAGCUACCAGUUCUGAAUGGCACGGACCUUGGCUACGAGCUCUGCUUCCAGCUGCCGAAAGGCAUGACUGUGGAGGCGGUGCAAGCGCCGCCGCUGGUGUACCACUUCGACGGUGGUGCCGCCAUGGUGCUUCCGCGAGAGAACUUCUUCGUCGAGGCGAGCCCGGGGGAGAUGUGCCUAGUCAUCAGCUCGGGUGGUGCCCGAGGGGCUAUCAUCGGCAACUACCAGCAACAGAAUAUGCACGUCCUCUUCGACGUGCAGAACCACAAGUUCUCCUUUUCGCCCACACAAUGUGAUCAGAUUUGAGCCGUGAAAUAUGAACCCCCACUUUGGAGUGGAGUUGAAUAGUGCAGAAAUAGCAGACAAAAUCAAGCUAUUAGAGAUGGCUCGUGCAUUCCGAAGUCGAAGCCAGUGCAAAGGUCAUAGUAGAAUAAGUAGCAUCUCUUGCAGAUGGCGUGUACUUGUCAUCCUUAAGGGAUGCAAGUUAAAAAACUAAUCCGACUUUUAGAGCAAGAGUCUCCCAAAAAAUUCUUCCCAAAACUAUAUAUUAGAAGCUCUACUAAAAAUUUCUUUCCCCAAAAUCAUAUCAUCCCACAGCGAUCCCCAAUCACUACUACAGAACUGACUUUAGAUCCCACCCCCUUUAGUCUCGGUUUAAUUUCGGCCAGGGAGAAAAGUGGAUGCGCCACGGUAGGCUGGAAUGGGGCGCACACUCUCGGUUCUUUUUUUUGCAACCGGGACUACAGGCCACCCUUUAGUCUCAGUUAAAACGGCUAGUUUCCGGGCACCAACGGCGCCACCCUUUACCCCCGGUUGGAGCCACCAACCGGGACAAAAGAUCCAACCUUUUGUCCCGGUUGGAGUUACCAACAAGGAUAAAGUGUUUACUCCUGGUUGGUAACACCAACCGGGACAAAAUCUUAUCUACACGAGCUCUUUCUUCCUCCUCCACUUCUCCAGCCCGAGCCACUCCACUCCACAAAGACAGAGAAGCUCAUCCUCUCCAUGGCGCCGAAGCAAGCCUAGGGGAGGUGCUGCUAAAUUUUUUUUCCUCAUUUCCAUGGGGAUUUCACGCAUCCAAAGUGUUGUGAAGGUUAGCUACUUCAUACUCCGUUCAUUUAUUGUUGUUAAGCUUUGUUUUAUACUUUAGAGAGGGAGAAAAGUGAGUUUGUUUGUUGUUAAGCAUGUAGAGGAUUUGUAUUUAUACAUGUUGUUGACGUUAGAUUUUGACACGUAUGGGAUCGGCAUCAAGGGAGGAAAAGAUUGGCUAAUGCGGUGGAUUAAAAGGUUACGAUUGGGAAUCGGCCUAUUGGUGCUACAGUUGAGAAUCGGGCGAUUGGUGCUACAGUGUUUUGACGGAUGAAGUUGGUGGAGAUCGACCGAUUGGAAGGCUGGAGCUAUUGGGCCAAUAUGGGCUUAAAGUGGGUUAGAGAAAGAAGAUAGAGGAAGUUUGGCCCGUGGGAGUAUAAUAACCAACUCCGAUACGAGUUGUGUUUGUAAAUAUUUAUUUUCGUUUAAAAUUAGAGAUAGAUACUAGUCGGUUAGGGAAACAGUUGUAACAGGCUAUAAAUAGCCAUCUUUAGAGAUUUGUAAACAACACAUCAAUCAAUACAAACAAUCUACUUUUUCAUCGUACUUUACUUUCAAGUCGGCGACUUCGCCAAUACAUCUUUUUCUUUCACGAGUUUGUACGGGUUGGCAGGACUGCAUCGACACGAUCUCCAGCCAAUUCUGUAAGUUCCGUCUAUCGAGUAAUAUCUAAGCUUUAACUUCGGGCGCAUCGCUGUCGUUUCGUUUAGAUUUAUUCACCAGUUAUCGAUAUUUACUAGAAUCAUAGGUUUUGUCUAUUGUUCUAGUUUUAUCACCAGUUAUCCAGCUUGAGAUUUGAAUUGUCGGCUUUAUUGUCAUUAUUCUUGUUUAUCAUUAUACAGCCAAUUAGAUCUAUUUCAAGUGUAACUUCGUAGCGUUGUUUAGUCUGCUCUAGUAGUUUCUUUACAAUCAUUGCGUGAUUAUCGUCUGUUCUAUAGCCGAUCAUCUUCAUAGGAAAUCGGCCGAUUCGCUGAUACGCUUUUCGAGACAGACCGGAAUUUUAGCCGAUUGAAACCCCUGGAAUUUAACACGUUUCUUUCCUUAUCAAUCAACAGGUCAGAUUGACUGGCACGCCGUGCAAACCGCUCCUGGACGAUCACCCAAACAGGAGCUAAGUAGAUUCUCCCAGAUCGUGUGUCUGACGCUGAAGGCCAUCGGCCGAUUUCUAGCGCCAACACACUUUUAGCACGCCCAGUGGAACCACCUCAACAUCUAACAUGUCAAAGACUGCCAAAAUCUCCGAAGACAAUGUCAUCGAGGUUACAGAGGCAGAUCUCAAGGACGAUCAGAAAGAAGAAUAGGCAAGACACCUAGAAGACUACAAGAAGGUAUACCUGCAAUCUUUCAGUCGUACCAGAAGCGGGGAGGCCAUCAAGAAAGCUCCUCUUCCAACCCCCCGCCAGAUCACCAUCGCUGAGGACUUGGGCAAGAUGUCCAACAUGAUUCAACAAUCCGUUUACCAGGCUUUCAUCGACCAAUCCUCAGUGAUGACCGACACGGUAUACAAUGCCGUCAUCAGUUCCCUGGUCAGCGGAGUAGCUCAAGGAUAUCAGGGGCCAGCGUACGCCUCGUCUAUUGUAACUCCAGUCAGAAGCUUACCAGGCACAUCUCACUCGGCUCCUCAGCCGAUACCGACACAACAUGGAGGAUACAACACCUCAAUGCCACCAAGAUACAAUGGCGCGUCAUGCUUUCAAACGCAAGGGCUGUCUCAGCCUACUCAGCUUUCCUCUGUGCAAACUCUGCCCUCGAACUCAGUGCCUUGGGGGGCACCAGCAGCGGCAACUAUUCUAGACCAGUCGGCCGGUUAUGGAGGCUCUCCGAUCCAAGCACCGUUCCAAUCGGCUAUCCGGCUGACGGUCCCACAGUAUCAACCGGCCACGUCAGAAGUCGGCAGGGGGGCAGAUGCUGCAAAAGCACUCAGAAGUGCGGCACCGAUGAUGCUGUACGAUGGGACGGCAGAUUUGCUACGCCACCAACAGUCAACUGCUCAGCCGGCCACGUUGCCACAAAAUCCGCCGCACGCUUUGAUCCAUCACCCAGCCAUCCCACCGCAGAUCCAUCAACAUGUGCCGAUCCCUCAACCAGUCGUUCAUCAGCAGCAAGUGGAUUGGACAGCAAGGAUAGCAGAGGUGAUUCAAGAUCAAUUUGGGUUGAAGCCGAAAGAACAGACCUAUAUGUAUAAAACGCCGUACCCACCUGCCUAUGACUUUUUGCCAUUUCCCUAUCGGUAUAAAGUUCCCGACUUCACCAAGUUUUCAGGAUUGGAUGACACUUCAACUGUGGAACACGUCAACAGAUUAAUCAUCCAGUGCGGAGAGGCUGCCACACAAGAUGCUCUGCGGGUGCGUCUGUUCUCUUCGUCACUAUCCGGGUCAGCUUUCCAGUGGUUCACUACACUACCGCCCAAUUCCAUCAUUACUUGGGCCGACCUAGAAAAGUAGUUCCACAAAUAUUUCUACGCGGGAGUCCACGAGAUGAAUUUCUCAGAUUUGACCAGCCUCAGGCAGAGGAGCGAUGAGCCAGUGACCAAUUAUGUGCAAAGGUUCAGAGAGGUCAGAAACAAAUGCUACACCCCAGUCCUAACCGACGCGCAGCUGGCCGAUAUCACCUUCCAAGGUCUCCUGCCACAUAUCAAAGAGAAGUACGCUUCCCAGGAGUUCGAGAGCUUAAGUCAAAUCAUUCAUUGAUUAGCCGGUCAAGAAGUACGCCCUUUUGAUCAGCGGAGAAAUUUUUAGAAAAAGGUGGCAUUACUUGGAGGGAUCUGAAUCUAAAGAGAAAGCGGAAAUCGGCCUAGCAGAAUGGGUCAAAGGGAAGAAGCCUAUAUCAUGUCCUUUCGGGAAGAAAGAGCCAGAAGCGUUCGGUUUUGACACGUCCAAGGCCGACAAAAUUUUCGACUUGCUUCUCCAAGAGGGGCAGAUCAAGCUCUCACCUUACCAUACCAUUCCAUCGGCCGAGCAACUCAAAAAGAUGAAAUACUGCAUGUGGCACAACGCCACAUCUGACGACACGAACAAGUGCAAAAUCUUCCGUCAGCAGAUACAGUCAGCCAUUGAGCAAGGCAGACUCAAAUUCGAAGUCCCGGCGAAGCCAGUAAAGCCGAUGAAGAUCGAUCAGCAUCCUUUCCCCACUAACAUGGCUGACACGGGAAGGAACGCACUUCAAACCAAAGUGCUGACGUCGGAAUCGGCCAAGAAAUGUGGCGCUGUGGACCCCAGAAAUCAGGCUACGGUUGAAGAUGUCAAAGGGAAGAGACGGGUCAAAGACGAGGGUGAAGGAUUGGAGAGACCGCGUAGACCUAUCACCUCCCAAUUCUUGCUCAACAAAUAUCAGCGGCAGCAGGAAAGUUUGAGGCACCGUGAAGAGAUGACACGCCGACACGAAGAUCAUUGGCGAUGCCCGUUCUUCAUCCACUGCUGGGAAAAUAACAUCAGAUUACCGUCAGCCGAUAAUUGCCAUGAGUGCAGCGGUCCAUAUCUUGACAAUCGCCCAUUCAAGAGGUCACGCUCCAGAGACAAACCGCCAGCCAAACCAGUGAACCCCAGGUGGUGCCCCGAUGGAUUGACCAAAUCUCAAAAAUGAAGAAUCCACCGUCUGCGCCAAUGGGAACAACAAGAAGUAGAGCAGAGGUGGAUGGUGGAUAAGAAAUAUGACAGGUCUUGAGUCUAGCGCCCCAAAAGAAACAACAAUAAGGAAGGCGACAACUAGGAAUCGGCAGCUGACGUCAGCAUGGUCUUCAUCUUGCCGUUGGAGUUCAUGGCUCCCGCCGAUCGGGAUGACACGACAAAGAUGGAGGAGCAGAUGGCGCAAUUGGCUUUGGAGCCAAUGACAGCCACUUUUGAGAAACCAGAAGAUGCAAAACGACAACAUCUCAAGACUCUGUUCCUCAAGGGACAUGUCAAUGUUCGACCUUUUACCAGGCUACUGGUAGAUGGAGGUGCUGCAGUCAACAUCAUGCCGUAUGCAUGUUCCGGAAACUGGGCAAAAGCGAUGAAGAUCUGACCAAGACGGACAUGAUGCUCAAAGACUUCGAAGGCAACGUGUCUCCCGCCCGUGGGGCACUCUGCAUCGACCUCACCAUCGGCAAUAAGACCAUUCCCACUACUUUAUUUAUUCUUAAUAGCAAAGGGUCCUACAAUAUGUUGCUCGGUCGUGAUUGGAUACACACGAAUUGCUGCGUCCCGUCUACAAUGCACCAAUGCCUCGUACAAUGGGUCGGCGACAACAUCGAGAUAGUCACCGCCGAUUCUGCCUACAAUGUUGCGGCGGCCGACGCACAACAGUGGAGCAGCGAAUACAUCAAGUGCAUAUCCGGUAGAACUUGGGACACCGAUUUCCUGAAAGUGACCGAUUUUGGCCUACAGCCGAUCCGAGCAGUCGGCCCUGAAGAUUCAGAUUAGAUGGAUCAGUUCGUCCGAGAAGACGGGAAGCUUAAGCAUGGGUUUACGUCGGCCGAUUCAUCGGAGAUGGUGGAUUUAGGAGAUAGUAGCAAGCCAAGGCUGACGUACAUUAGUGCUAGCUUGGAUCCCGAGUAAAAAUGUAAAUUGACAAGUUUAUUAAAAGAAUUUAAAAAUUGUUUUGCUUGGGAAUACCAUGAGAUGCGUGGUCUAGACCGGUCCAUUAUCGAACACCGGUUGCCUAUAAAACCAGGAUAUCGGCCGUAUCCGCAGCCUGCACGACGAUGCAACCCUAAAAUUCUACCUGAUAUAAAGGCCGAGAUUACAAGAUUGAUUGAAGCGAAAUUUAUUCGGCAGUGCCGUUACACCGAGUGGAUCUCUAAUAUUGUACCCAUAUACAAGAAAAAUGGAAAGCUGCGCGUGUGCAUUGACUUCAGGAACCUUAAUCAGGCUACGCUGAUGGUUGUCUAUCCAAUGCCGACAGCCGAUGUUUUGAUAGAUGCCACUGCAGGACAUAAAGUCAUCAGUUUCAUGGACGGUAAUGCUGGGUACAAUCAAAUAUUAAUGGCCGAAGAAGAUAUUUUGAACACGGCUUUCAGGUGCCCGGGCCACCUCGGUUUAUUCGAGUGGGUAGUAAUUACCUUUGGAUUAAAAAACACCGGCACCACGUAUCAACGAGCUAUGAAUUAUAUUUUUCACAAGCUUAUUGGUGCGUUGGUGGAAAUCUACAUCGAUGACGUUGUAGUUAAGUCAAAAGGACAUCAGGAACAUCUGGCCGAUUUGCGAGAAGUGGUGGAGUGCACGAGGAAGCAUGGUUUGAAAAUGAACCCGAACAAGUAUGCAUUCGGUGUGUCGGCCGGACAAUUCCUAGGAUUCAUGGUCCAUGAGCACGGGAUAGAAGUCAACCGGAAGAUCAUAGCUGCCAUCCAUAAGGUUGUAGCCCCACAGAAUAAAACUGAGCUGCAGUCCCUAAUUGGCAAAGUCAACUUCAUCAGAAGAUUUAUAUCCAAUUUGUCCGGGCGUAUUCAAGCUUUCACUCCUUUGUUGAAGCUGAAAUCCGAUCAGGAAUUCGUGUGGGGAGAAGAACAGCAAAAAGCGUUGGAAGACAUCAAGCAAUAUCUGGUUUCGCCACCUGUAUUAGUCCCACCACAGGCUGAUAAGCCCUCCAGACUAUACUUAUUGGCCGAUGAACGGGCUAUCGGAUCGGUGCUGGUACAGGAGUUCGACGGAAAAAAAACGGGUAAUAUAUUAUGUCAGCAGAAGACUCCUGGAUGCCGAGACAAGGUAUUCCGCGGUAGAGCGGCUGUGCCUGUGUCUGUAUUUCUCAUGUACCAAACUCAAGCACUACUUGUUGUCGGCAGAAUGCAUAGGCGUGUGCAAAGACGACGUAGUAAAGUACAUGCUAUCAUUGCCAAUUUUGAAAGGACGGAUUGGAAAGUGGAUCCUGGCUCUGUCAGAGUUUGACCUAAGGUACAAAUUGGCCAAAGCUGUUAAAGAAAAAAGUCAUGGCCGAUUUCGUAGCUCAGCAUUGUGGACCGGAAGUUGCUGUCGUUGAACCAGUUCCAUGGACUCUAUACUUCGAUGGCUCUUCGUGUGGGGCCGGUCAGGAAUCGGCAUCGUUCUCAUAUCGCCUCAGGGGGCAAGUUAUGAUUUCUCUCUGCCGAUAGAAGCAUCCGCAACCAAUAAUCAGGCGGAAUACUUAGCUGUCCUGAAGGGUAUCCAAUUGUUGAGAGAAAUCAAAGCCGAUGCUGUGGAAAUUUUUGGGGAUUCCAUGCUCAUCGUAGAUCAAUUAACGAGGAGAUCUGAAUGCAAGGAUGACGUAUUGAGGAUUUACUACGAAGAUUGCCUCCAACCUUUAAAAGAAUUCAAGUCCGCGGUUAUUGAGCAUAUUCCCAGAAAUUACAAUGAAGAGGCCAAUAGGCUUGCCCAGCACGCGUUCGGAUAUCGGCCGAUUCAAGGCGCCAUGACUCUGGAACUCGCGGCCGACGAUUGGCGAAAGGAGAUCGCCGAUUACUUGAAGGAUCCAUCCAGGAAAGUAGAUCGGCGAGUGCGUUUUCAAGCCACAAAAUAUGUGCUACUCAAAGAUGAUUUGUUUAAUCGAACGAUUGAUGGAGUUCUGCUCAAAUGCCUAGGAACGGAAGAAGCGAAAGUCCUGAUGGGAGAAAUUCACGAAGGCAUGUGUGGAGCUCACCAAUCGGAUCACAAAAUGAAGUGGAUGAUUAGAAAUAACGGGUAUUAUUGGCCGAUGAUACUCGAAGACUGCUUUAAAUAUUAUAAAGGGUGUCAAGAUUGUCAGAAGUUUGGCAACGUGCAGCGUGCACCAGCCUCGGCUAUGAACCCGAUAAUCAAGCCAUGGCCGUUCAGAGGUUGGGGAAUAAACCUCAUCGAACAGAUUUAUCCUCCAUCAAGCAAGGGACACAGUUCAUAUUAGUAGCCACUGAUUAUUUUACCAAGUGGGUGGAGGCAGUCUCAUUGAAGGCCGUGACAUCGGCCGCUCUGGUCGAUUUUGUAAGGGACCACAUUGUUUAUCAUUUCAGUAUCCAUCAAACCAUCACAACUGAUCAAGGGACGAUGUUCACUUCAGGAGAGUUCGAGGAGUGCACCGCCGAUAUGGGAAUUAAGUUGUUGAAUUCUUCUCCGUAUUAUGCUCAAGCUAACGGUCAAGCCGAGUCGUCCAAUAAGGGGAUAAUCAAGUUGAUCAAGAGGAAGAUAGAAGAACAACCUAAGAAGUGGCACCUAUGUUUGACUGAGUCUUUAUGGGCUUACAGGAUGGCCUGCCACGGGGCCACUAAAAUAUCUGCUUAUCAAUUGGUAUAUGGUCACGAGGCAGUAUUGCCUUGGGAAUUAAGGACGGGGUCAAGACGCAUAUCGCUCCAAGAUCAGUUUACGGUCGAUGACUAUUCCCUCCUCAUGAAGGGAGAGCUCGACAAUUUGGCAGGUUAGCAAUUAAGGGCCCUGAUCAGCAUUGAAGAAAACAAGAAAAGGGUGGCCAGGUGGUACGAUAAGAAGGUCAAGGUCAAACAAUUCUCUCAAGGAGAUUUGGUAUGGAAGUUGGUGCUGCCGAUUGGGUCUAAAGAUCCUAAGUUCGGUAAAUAGUCGCCCACUUGGGAAGGGCCGUAUAGAAUCGGCCGAUGCGCUCCGAGAAAUGCGUAUAUACUAGAAACUAUCGAAGGAGAGGAAUUCACGAGAGCCUUGAACGGAAGAUAUCUGAAAAGAUACUAUCCUAGUAUAUGGGUGAAUGCGUAAUUGACGGUAGGGUGCAUCAAGAUGACAUGGACAACUCCUAUUGGCUCUUGUUGGUAUAGCCGAUGUAAAGAUAACAUCGCCUUAAGGACGAAACAUUCAACCAAUUCGGCCGAUUUAUUAUUCGGUACAAACGACAAAGUACAUGGCCGACAUGGUACAAGUCGCCCUUAGAACAAAAAGUACCAACACACCUAUGGACCACGUUUUUUCUUAAUCUCCCUCUCGAUCCGACCUAAUUCUAUCAAAAGGUGGAUGCUCUUUUUCUCUAGAUCCUCCAUGGUGGCUUCAACCUCGACUUGACGAGGAAGUCGGUGGCUCCUGUCAAGAGGAGGUUGGGAGGUCCCCACUGCGGCAUCCUCGAGGGCGACUGGGCGAGAGAGUGGGUGACUCCUUUCAGUAGGCGGCCGCCUAGAGCAGUUGGCAUCCAUAUGGUCUAGGAUCUUCUGAACGUCAGUGGGGAUGUGAUCUUUGAGUUCUUCGUGAUGAGCCCUGAUCAGAUCUUUGUCCGCCUGCGACAACGGUUCGUCGGAAUGCAUGACUUCGACCGCUCGUUCCAGUUCAGGACUAAGGCGUCUCGGCUGGAAAUCAACAAGCAACCAUUCAUCGUCAGACCGGUUGAAAUUUUAGGCGGAGGAACGAAGGAGGGUUUCGUACCUGAUUGACGGAGAAGGAAGAAGAGGAAGAAGACAUCUCCGCACCUAGUCUGAGGAUAUAGAAAUCAAACUACUAGAGGAAAAGAGGAUGGGUGAUGUGAAUGUCUUCGGAAAUGAUACGGGGCCUCAUAUUUAUAGAAGGAAAAGGGCGAAGGGUUGGUAAGACGCGUCCCAUCAGAGUAAAAGGGGCAAUAAAUGAAAAGCUGCUGCAAAGGAUGGUUCAGGUUUGAAUCCACACGCCAACGGCAGAAGGACAUUAAUGUUUUUACAGAACAUUCAGUGCUUUUACAAUUUACCCGAGAAGGGCAUUAAUGGCCGCAAUCACUCGCUGCCUAACCUGAUCGGCCGAGUCAAGAGUUCGCUGGUCGUCGUCGGCCGAUCCAGGGACUUCUAGCAUAUGGCGAUGGAGCUUGAUUGCUUCAUGGGCCAGGUUUUGUCUCUCUUGCUUGAACUCUUCGUCGUCAAAAAGUGCAACCGCGAAGGAAAAGAGACUAUUGUUGUGAGUAUCCUGCUCCUGCGAAAGAAUAAAAAUAACAAUACAAAUUAGCCGACGAUGAUGGGAAAUCGGCCGAUUUGGGUGACAGGUCUCUUACCUCUUUGAAGCGGAUUUCUUCUGCUUGCGCUGGCGGGAGUGCUACCCUCGGCUCGGGAACUGGCGCGACCGGUUCAUCAGAGGAGGAAGAUUCGACGAUUAUUGGUGCCCUGCUCGGGCCGGCCUCCUGGAAAGGUACGAGAAGCGGGUUUUUAUAAGCAUGUAGAUGGACAAAUAAGGGUUAUGUUAACAGAUAUAUUAUGAAAAUACUUUCAUCAUAUAUAAUUGUUUCAAUGUAUACUGAUAUAUUUCUGUGAUGUUUCUAGUCCGAGUGUUAUUGGAAUGUAUGUCAAUGUCCUCAUAGAUAUAAGGGAUCAGAGGAUUUAUUCAAUAAGUUAAAUCAUGAGACAACAAAAGGAGUAGUAUAUUGUCUUGUCGACACCAAGACCCUAUUUGUUUGAGCUUUCUCCCAGCCAAAAGCCCAAACAAAAACUUAUGCCAACUUCUCCACUAGGAUUUUUUUAAAGCUACCCCUCCCCCGUAAAUUAGAAGCAACAAGAAGGUGGAAAUGUGGAGGCCUUUUGAGAUGUAGAAAUGACUGUAGGUAUGGCUAUUGAUUGUAUUUGAAUAAACAAAAGCCUAUACAAUAUAGAUUUGAUUCAACCAGUUGAAUGAAAUCACCAUGCAGAAUCAAGCACCAAAAUUCAUCUAGACUACAAAAAAGGAUAUUGAAUGACAUCAAAGACUAAUUGGGCAGAACCACCAAGUGUUCACAGCUUCUCGAUUAUCGGUUUCACACGGACUGAUUGCAAGGGAAUAAACAUCUGAGGAGGAAGUCGUUGCUCCUUCAAAUACUGCAGCAUAGAAUAAAUAUAAUGAAUGUCUGCUCAUUCAGAUGCACCUGUGGAAACUAAAUGAAAGAAACAAAAACCAAAAAAAAA
RNAcentral lists this long non-coding RNA (76619 nucleotides) under Setaria viridis. RNAcentral's name for it is "long non-coding RNA (SVIR_LNC007409)". The stretch from base 43218 to 43324 matches the Rfam family "Plant small nucleolar RNA R71". Lineage: Eukaryota; Viridiplantae; Streptophyta; Magnoliopsida; Poales; Poaceae. The record is from RNAcentral.